RNAcentral lists this long non-coding RNA (76155 nucleotides) under Cucumis sativus (cucumber). RNAcentral describes it as "long non-coding RNA (CSAT_LNC002483)". The record is from RNAcentral. Lineage: Eukaryota; Viridiplantae; Streptophyta; Magnoliopsida; Cucurbitales; Cucurbitaceae.
GAAGGAGGCGCAGGUGGACCAAGCAACGCUGGAGAAGGAGCUGGUGCUCUGUGCUUCUUUGACUUCUUCUUGCUAGGUGCCGGGGCAGGAACCUCAACAGGAGGCGACGCGACUGGGGCAGGAGGAGAACUUUCGGGAGCGGGAGGAGAUUCCGUUGGAGUUGGUACUGGAGGAGAGCUCACCGGUACUGAAACUGGUGGAGAACUAACCGGAACUGGAACAGGCGGAGAGCUAGCCGGAACGGUAGCAGCUGGUGGAGAGCUAGGUGGAACGGAAGCAGCCGGAGGAGAGCUGGCAGGAACGGAAGCAGUCGGAGGAGUGCUGGCUGGUGGAGAAGCUACUGGAGCGACUGCUGGUGGCGCCGAUGCAGGCGGCGUGGAGACCGGUGCUGGAGUUGCCGGCUUUUGAGGAGCGGCGGCGGGAGAUGGAUUUGUCGGUGUAGAUACGGGAGAUGCAGCUGGAGGGGGAUACGUCGCUGCUACUGGGGGAGUAGCGGCGGGAGUAGUAGUGGGAGCAGCAGCCGGGGACUGGCCACCGACACCAGCGACGACGGCGCAGAUGAGAACGAGUGCGAUCACGGAUUGUCUACCCAUUUCAACCGAGUGAGUGUGUGUAGUAGAUGAAGAAGUGAAUGUUUCGGAGCCCGAGGCGUCAUAGUGUAUAUAUAGACCAGUAAAUAACGCCUCGAAGGAGUUAUUUUAUUUUAAUAAAAAUAAUGAAAAUGGGCCCACUAUUAAUGGGCCUGUACUAGCCGUUGGGAGAGAGAAAAGGGCCCACGAACGGAAUCGUAGAAAAGAACGGUAUAAUAUUGGAGAUUUAAACAGACUGGCCAAACAAAGCCCAUUGAUUUUUUUUUCUCUUGUCUACAUCUCUCAGGCUGAAAAUCUGAUUAAUCAAACAAGUAGUUGAAUUUAUGUGUAAAUGAAUGCGUUAAAUUAAGGUAAUUGGAAAGAAGGUGGUGUGGAAAGAGGAAAAGAGAGAGGUAAAUGGGGGGAUUAAUGACGCGGUUUAGGAUCCAAUAAUUUGGAGUGAAUUUUGGUGGAUACAGCUGGAUGAUUGAGAGUGGGGCCCACGCCAAUUUCGACAAUCCAAUAACAGUUGUCCACGUGAACUGUCGAGGCAAUUAUUGCGGGGAAAUUUACCAACAAGACUUAGCAGUCCGUUUGGAUUUCUUUUGUCCCACUACCACCGCCUUUGAAAGUCGUGCCUAAACAAUUAUAAACCCCACAUAUAUAUUUCCUUCCAAAAUUCAAUCUAAAAUCACGCUCCACCCAACAUCAACUCGCCUAUAUGUACAUCAGAACCACCUCUUGGCUUCCUAUUUCCACCCUUAAGUUCUUUUACUAUAUUUAUGCUACCUACAAUUUUUAUCUGCAAACAAAUUUUCUUCACUGCCUCAAAUUCCAUAUAUUAUGUGAUUCAUAGACGUGUUUUUUUCUCCUCUUCCAAUUUUUUUAUUUAUUGUAAAAAUAUUUAUCUACACAAAUUUCUAUUUAUACUAUUUAUACAUGUGUUCUACUUGUUUUAUUUUUUAGUUUAUUUUAAAUUUGUUGUGGGUGUUAAUACCAAUUUAUAGGUUUUAUUUUAUUUUUAUGUUUAUUUCACUCGCGUUAGUUCUUUUUAUUUGCUUCAAGAAUGUAAAUUGAACAUAAGUAGAUAUAACAACUUUGAGUUUUAGCAAAAAAAAUAAUAAUAAUAAAGAGAAAAAAACAAAAUUAGUUUUUAAUUCUAGCUUAUUUAAUUAUUUUCUUUGUUGGCAUACAAAAUAUAUAAAAUAAAUUAGCAAAUAUUUCUUUUAAUUAUGAAUUUAAUUAAUAAUCAUCAAAAUAUAUAAAUCACAAUCACCAUUACAUAUAAAAUUUAACAAAAUUGUAACCUAAGAGUAAGAGGUCAAAGUAAGUUCUUUUAUUAGAAGUUGGAGACUAAAACACAAAAAUAGACUAAGUUACCAAAUUUAGAUACCAAAAUAGAAUUUAAAGUAAAGAAGUAUAUGUAUUUUUAUUAUUUGGUGGGUGACAAGAAGAUUUUUUCUUUCCUAAUAUUUUUUUAUUUUGAAAUUGAUAUAUGAUAUUUAAAAAAAGUGUGGAGUAUAAUAAAGGAUUUGGGAAGAUAAACGUUGAACCUUUGACGCAUCUCAUUUCUUUUGUAAUUGUACACUAUCUAUGAAAUGAUUAUGAUGUAUGGUGGCAUAAUAAGAGAAAUCAGUUCUUUUUUCUUCAAAAAAAGAAAUAUAUGAAUAAAAGGAAAAAGAAAAAGAAAAAACCUACCAAAAGCAUGUAUCAACUUAGCAAGCAAGUUCACCUAGUGUGGCCAAAUUUUUUUUGAAGAUCUGUCUUAUUCCACGAUAUUAAUGAACAAAUUCAUUAUGUGAUAUAUACAAAAGUUUUAAGUAUAAAUUUUCUUUCACGAUGGUUUCAACAUUGGACCCCACCAACAUAGAUCGAUAAGUUAAUCGUUAUAUCAUUUUUAACUCAACUAACAAAGUUUAUUUUUGCUACUUUCACUUUCAGUUUCGAUCUUAUCCUGUUUGUGACACAAUCAUUUUUCCAAAUUAACUUUUAAUAAUCGUGGUCUAAACUGACCUCGUUUCUAUCUAUAAUACAAGUUGCAUCGACACUAAAAUUUCAAACAACUUUGCCACAAAGGAGACCGUAUAUUUAAAACUUCAUUUGUGCUUACACUUGUAGAUUUUGAUAACAUUGUUGAAUGAUCAAAUCUUAUAUAUAUAUGUGUGUGUAACAUCCAAUCUUUCCAAUUAACUUAAGUAACAAAACAAUUUGUUUAAAUAACUAUGAUCCUUCCAAAUUGCCCAUCAUGUCAUAGAAAACUAAUAGAAUUUGGAUUCUCCCAAAUCUUCCAAAACCAUAGCAGUACAUCUAAGAUCAGCUACUCCAACAUAAUCGGCUGGUUCAAUGUUUGAAUGAAGUGACCAAAUAUUUGAAGCUCCUUAAGAAAAGUUAAAUAUUAUUGUUUUAUCUAUGACUUAUGCACUAAUAAUAACAUUGAGAACUAUUUUGAUAUUACUUUACUAUUUGUGGGAAAUGAUUUUGUUAUGUGUUUUUCAUUAUAACAUCUUAAUUUUACGAGAAAUUCUAAAUUUCAUAGUAUUCUCCAACUGUUUGAAGGAUAAAAUAAGAGAAAAAAGUUUGAUAAUGAUUGAAUUGAUAAAGGUUCUAAUUAACGUUUUAAGUUAACAGUAGUGUACAUACAUAGAUAACAAUUGAAUCAUAAAUCUUGUUAGAUUAAAUAAAUUCAUGAAUCAAUUAUAAACACUUCAAAAUAUAAAUACAUUUUAAAAAGUGGUUAUAAAAAAUGUCUAAUCCUCAUUUGGUAUUUUAUAAUCUAAAUAGAUAUCAAUCUUAAUUUACUUCAUCCAUCAAAAUCUAAUUUUACAAAAAGAAAAAAGUGGUUCUACAUACAUUUAAUUCAAGACUUUGUUAUUUCAUAAAACAAACAAACCUACAGAAUAAAAUAUUGAAAAUGUCAACUAAAAAAUGGUCACAACAAUCAAUAUAGAUUACAACGUGUUUCAUAUUAUAUAUAUUUAUAAUUUAUGUUUAAAAUUGACAAGUAGCUAUAAAUUAAAUUAUAAAUAUAAUUUAUUUUUACAAAAUUAGUUAAAUUGUAAUUUUAAUCAAUAUUUAAUGAAAAUUAGAGUUUACAUAUAGUUGGAUAAAAUCUAAUAAAUAUUCUUUAUGGUUUGACAAUCUUUAUAAUAGUCCAUACAAGCCAGAUUAUUUGAUGAAGUUUUAUCAAACCAAAUGGAUUUAAGUUAUAGUUAUAAAGCAUAGAGACUAAAUGCUAUCAAUUUAAAAUCAUAUAAACUAAAUCUGUAAUUUAUCCUACAAAAUCUAUAUAGUUGUUAUUUUUUAUUAUUAUAUAAUUUAUAAUACGUUACAUAAUAUAUGUUAUAUUUAAAAAAAAUGUAAAAAAUGAAUUGAGUUUAUAAAUAUAUUGUAGUUUUAGAUGUUUUUGCAUAAAUUUUAUUUAAUUAUACUCUUCUUAGAAUGUAAAAUUCAAAUUCUUCGUACAAUAAAAAAAAUUUGAUUUCAUGAAUUUGAACCAUUUAAAUCACACUAUUUGAAAACAAUUUUCAAAAACAGAAUAUGGAUUGUAUGUCAAACGAAAAUUCAUUAAACUCAGUGAAUCUAAAAAUAUAAACUAAAAUUCGAAUUCUCUAUCAAACAUGCCCUUAAAAAUCUAGUUCAUGUAGUUACUAAGGUAUGUACUAUUUAAAAUUAUCAUUUUCUUCAUCCAUAACAAAAUUAUAUUUUAUCAAACGUAAAAGAUUAAAUUUUAAUUUUUAGUAUUGUAGGACUAAAUUCUAACUUUGCAACUUUAUAAUUUAAACUAAAAAUUACUUUUUUAUACCCUUAUUUAUUUCUUAACCAUAAUUAAAGAGAAAUAGUUAAAUUACAUAAUUUGAAAUGGGACCUAAAAUUUGUGAUGGUUGCUCUUAAAAGAUACCAAACUGAAACUGAAAUUUUAAAGAUGCUUACCAAACCAAACCACUAAAAAACAUAAUUUCAUCCACAUUGAUAUCAUAAAAGCCUCACUUCUUGGUUUGGUGAAUGUUCUUUCACUGCCUAUACUGCUUUUUUGGACCCUUUUUCAAGCCUCCCUCUCUCUCUCUUUUAAUAUCUUUUCUUCCUUUACACUUUUGUAAUAACUAAAUAUUAAUGUAUUAAUAACUGAAUCCUUGUCCAAUUCAUCUUCUUUGCUUGUUCAAGAGAAAGAGAGGAAGAUAAAGCUGUCAUUUUAUUACAAGUAAAACUAUUAUAUUAUUCUAAAAGCUACAUAAUGUGUCUUUGGGUUUUUCUUUUGCAUCAAGUGAUUCUUUUUUUUUCCAUCAUUUUUCUUUCAUUUUCGCAUCUUUUGAUGUUGCUUUUGACACUAGUUUUUAUUUUAUAUUUUGUCAAUUCCUAUAUAGUCCUGUUAUUUCAUAAUAAACACCUAACAAAAAGCACUCAAUAAUUGUCAAUAAUUAUUACAACAUACUUAUAAUAUAUAUAUUUUCGUAAUUGUAUAGUAAAAUUAAUAAUUGUUUAGGAAAUUAUUGAAUCAUACUAUUGAAGGUGGGGAGCUAAUAAUACUACAAGCUAAUUAAAAUAUAUUUGGUUCUACUUUUUUGUGUUCGUGUGAUUCUUAACUUAAUAAAGAUGAUUGGGUGAAUAAUUUUGUACGAUUUACUUGUGAAAUCAAAUGUUUAAUUCUUAUUCUAAUUGACAUGACAAUAUUUUUCAAUAUUUAUUGGAUGGAGAUUUCAAUAAUUAUUUUAUCAAUUUUAAGAAGUUUUUGCUGUUCACUUCAAUUUUGUGUUAUUUAAAAUUUACAUUAAAUGGUAAAAAAACAAUACUUGUUUAAUUUUAAACUAAUCCCACGUUUUUAACCUAUUUUUACCUUUUUCUAUCCAUCUUUAUUUAUGAGAAAUUUAAUAGCAAAGAGUUGUGCAUUCAUGGAAAGAUCUCUAAUAAAAACAUCACUCGAAUAUCAUUAUGUUGAUUUGACAUGGUUUAAUGAACUACAAAUUUAUAUAUGUAGUUCAAUCUUUUACUUCUAUAUUCUACUUAAUUGUUUGAGCUCAAAAAUAAUUAUUGUUAUUAUAUUUUUGUAUAUUGUAUUCAAUUAAUUAAUUUUUUUUAUUUACUCUAUUAUUGUCGAUGACCAACGGAACGCCAAGACUUGGAGCUUUUUCUAAACUCAUACUAAAUAUACUAUUCGAAAUGUUUUUUAUGGAUUUAUUUUAGAAAUUGACAUUUUCUAACAAAAAUAUAAAAUUAGAGCUUGUUAAAAUAUUUUUUAUUUUUUAUUAUUUAUUUUUAAAAUUAAACAUCGUCGUAUAACUAUAUAUAUAAACUAUUUCAUCAGUAUUGAUAGGGACACUAAUUAAAAACAUAUACUUGCAAAAUAAACUGUAACAACCUUUUAAAACAAAUCAAAUUUCAAUGAGACCAUUUUUUAGUUUUUAAACUUGGAAAUCAGUGAAAACUGUUUCCUGUAUCUCUGCUACCAAUUUUAAAUACCGUUUGGUUAUCAUGAUAUUGAAAUUGUGACUUUAGGAUCAAAGUAGCAUUAUAAAGUUUGUGUCUUUUAAUAGUAUAACGGAAUUUCACAUAGAUGUUAGAAAGAGUAACUCAUAGUUACAUUGUCAAUAUGCAAGGCACGUACGUCACGCAACAACGUUUUUUAAUAAAUAUGAUAUUUAACUUGGUUAAGAAACUUGAUAAAUAAGUUGGAGUUCAAAUAGAGGAUCCAGUAAAAAAAAUUCUAACAAAUCAGCCACUGCCUUAACAAAAAAAUUGUAUUUCAUAGGAGAAACAAGUAUAUCAAUUAUGACAAUUGGGAUUGCAUGCAACAAAAAUAAAACUCAAACAUAGGGCAAACAUUUUCACAAAACAUCUUUUAAGUUGGAGAGUUUCAUCCAAAUGUAAGGUUUAGUUGUCUUUGUUUCAACUCCGUGGAAGAAGUUGCAAACAGAACUCCUCCGUAAAGUUACGAACUCUCAUCUUCUUUAGAUCAGAACAUCUUUAAAUGUUUCUAGUCAGCUUCAUAUUUAAUUUGGAGCAUCAAGAACAACUAAGAACUAAAUUACAGUCUUAGUAAUAUGUGUGAAAUUAGUUGGAGAAGAGUUCCAAUAAUGAAAACUGCCCACGUUCGUUACAACAACAUAAUGGGCUUUAAUUGAAUUUGGGCCUUAACUGGGCUGGAUCAGUUGAUCUCAUUCAAUAAUAGUCCAAAAGGGCAAUAUAAUACCCACCCUAUUUUUAAACUUACCUACGGUCGGGUGCACCACUUCCCAAAUGUGACACAUUCCUCUGCGGCCACAUGGCAAUCCAAAUUUUUAUUUUUUGUUCUUUAUUUACAUCUUCCCAUUUUUAAGGUUUCUUUCUUUACUAUAAAUGUCUACAAAUAUCAUUGAUAUUUGUAGAGAAUUAUAUAGAAAAAAGAUAAAUAAAUACCUAUACUUUUAAAACAAGUUAACAUGUAUAGUAUUUUUUUUCUUUUGAUAUAUAAAUUACAAAAUAUAAAUAUAAAUGUAAAGAUAGAAAUGUUGAUAUGGUGGUGACAUGUUAUUAGUAUACUUUACAUGAAUAUAGUUUUCUUUAAAAAGAGUAAAAGAAAAAGUAGUUUUAUGAAUAUAGUUACUUAUAGAUGCAUGCAGCCGCAUUUUCUUGAGACCCAACCCCGUUGUACUUUUUUCUCUCUUUUUGUGAUACAUAUUAGGGAUUGCUUUACCAUUCUUACCUUUUCAAUUUGUUAGAGCUUAGAUCUGAAAUUUUUACUUUUUCAUCUCCUUUCACUUUUACUUCUCCAAUCCAGAUACCAUGUAUUUGGCUCCAUUCAUGUUAUCACUUUUAAAGAUAAGGGUUAAAUGCGAUAGUUAAUUGUAGAUAUAACAAAAUUUGUUGUGUCUGUAAAUUUUUCUUUGUGUUAUUUUUGUAAAUACAUUAGACUUUAUUGUUACCUUGGCUAUAUUUUGCUAUUUUAUAGUACUUAUUUGAUUUUAGUUUGUCACUAAAAUUUUAAUAAAUGUCCAAGUUAGUUACUGUGGUUAAUGUUAAAUUAAUUUUGAUCAAAAUUAUGUAAACUAAUAAUGAAUAUAUUGUAUAUAUGUUUUCAAAAUUUAUUGCAAAAAGACUAGUAGAUACGUUAAUCAAAAGUUAACUAUAUUAAUAGUAGAGGUAGCUUUAAAAUUUGGUAAAAAUAUCAUGAUUAAAUUAGAUUUUGACAUGUGAAUUUAAAGUACAGGUACUUUGGACUAAAAUUAAACAAAUCACAAGUUGCUAAUUGAUUUAACCUUUCUUUUUAAUUACCUUUAUUGACUAUAUGUUAUCAUUGCUAAUGGUUUGAUCAAGUGACUUUUAUCUUCCAAAAAGUUACAUCAAACUCAUUUUUAAUUUCAGUUCAUUGGUUAUUGCAACGUAGAAAAUGGGAUUCAUCAUCACAAAAAAUCUCAUUUCUUCCCCGAUCUUCUCGUGUUCUUAAUUAAUUAUCUCCUACUUUUUAAAAUGCCUAUAGUUUAUAAAACCAUACACAAAAACCAAGUUGCAAUAUAUAUAUAUAUAUGUGUGUGUGUUUUUGUUGAUCUCAUGAUUGCAUGGAUUCUCUCCCAGAGUUUCUGCAUAUUUGCAUGGUUGGGUACAUGGAACCAAUGUAAAACCACGUUUUAGAUUUUGUGCAAUAGGUAUUGCUACUGCUAAGCAUGUGGAAAAGGAGGCUAUUAGAAUUAGAUUACCCAAAAUUUGUUUCAAGUUUGAACUCAAUGAAAAAGUUUAUAGUACAGCUUUUAAACAAUCUAAGCUUUUUAUUAAAUAUGUACACACCACAUAACAUAUAUAUAAAAGAAAUAAUAAAGUAAUGAAUGAAUGAAUGUGGGUGGUAUGGUAGUAUAUCUUUUCUAUACAUAAAAAAAAAAAAAAGGAAAAUAUUUCAUUGAACAGAACAAAAGUUUAUGUACAAUCAACACUCCCAUAAAUUUAAGAAGAGAAGCAAAGGGAGAAAAGAAAGAACCAAAAGAAAUGAGCUUCUUCAAGAAAUGAAGAAUGCACCCAUAAAAAAAAAAAAAAAGAUGAAAAGACGUGUUGUCUUAGCAAGGGAAAGAACACCACACAACAAUUAUAACUACUAUUUUAAAUUCUAUAUAAUUAUACCAAAUUCAUAACUUAUUUGUUUUUUCAAAAAUAAAAAAUAUUAAAAUUAACAAAAUUCAUAAGUGUAUAAAUUAUAAACAAGAGAAAAAAUAAAUAAAUAGUAUUUAAACUUAAAUAAAUUAAUUAUAAACAAGGAUGGAUUAUCAUAACCCUUUUCCAACCCUUUCCUCCUAACCCUUUCCCUCCCUCCAAACACCACCACUCUAUGAUAUCACACUUAAGCCAAGAGCUAAAGGAGCUUGUCAAAAUGUUCAAACUUUAUUUAGGUACUUAAUUAAUAGACAUUUUGGGAGAGCUAAGAUUAUCACUAAGAAAAUAUAAUUUUUUUAGAAUCACAACUUUCUUAAUAUAAUUCAUAUAUUAAUGGAGUCUUUUCAUCAUCACUACUUAAAUUGUUCUUCCAAGAAGCUUAAUUUGAACAUUAUGAACAAUCAUAGGUCAAAUCUAUAUCUAAAAUUAAAUUGCUCUUUAAAUCCUGGUAGGUAUCUGAUAACAAACAUGCACUAAUAUGCACUAAGGUGAAUAAGGUGAAUAAGGAAGGGGCUAGUUUGGGUGGGUUUUAAAUAAUAUGAUAGAAUAGAUAAAAGGUAAAUAUUUUUGUAAUUUACAUUUUCUUAUAUUUUGUUUUAAAUUCGAAUUAAUGCAAUGGCCACUCAACUGAAGUUAAUUUUUGUAGUUUAGUGGGCUAAGGAAAUUGACACAAUCCAAAUGUGUAUGUCAACCAUUGAAAUAAAAUAAUGUAAGACGAAAUUGAAUGAACAGUAAAUUUAAACCAAACUCAAAAACUCAAAAUAUUGAUUGAAAUUAUUGUUCUUAAUAAGACGAAGCAAAAUGUUAAGUAGGGGAAUUUGGGGGUUCACAAAAAGGAAGAAUGUUCCAACUUUUUCGAAUAUUAUUAAACCUUAUUUCUCAAUUCUCUCUAUUUCUCUCUUUAAAACCAUCCCAUUUUUAGUUUCUUUUUCAAACCAAAGCUUCUUCAAUCCUUCGUCUCUUCCGCCAUGAAAGCCCUUCGCCACAAGAAAAUGGCGGAAAAGCAUAAGAAAUAUCAUCACACCAAAGCGCUUAAUUGCGCCCUUCCUUUCUGUUUCUUUUGCACCAUGAACGAACCUGACCCAUUUCUCAGAACCUUCAAAAUCACUGAAUGUUUCAAGGAAAUACCACUGAGAGAUGAUCCAGAGUCUGUUCUUGCACUGAGUGGACUAUGGAACAUCGCCAUGACUCGACCCGAUAACCCGGAAUUUCCAGAGCUUGGGAUAUUUGAGUGUAUGGCAAAGCUUAUUAGCAGAGGAAUUAGUGAUAGGAAAUGGCUGUUUAGAGAUCAGAACGUUUAUAUUCCUUAUUAUGCUGCUCAUAUUAUUGGGUCUUACGCCAUGAACAGAGCUGAAUUUGCAGAAAUUGCUGUUGAAUCUGGAGUGAUUCCGCCAUUGAUGGAGCUUUUGAGAGGAAAAAUCAGCUGGGUCGAGCAGAGAGUGGCCAUUCGAGCUCUUGGUCAUUUGGCAAGCCAUGAAAGAACGUUCGAAUCAGUUGCUCAAAUUGGAGGGGAAACAGUGGAAUUAGCAAUGGAAAUUGCUUCAAAUUUUGUCGAAAAUGUUUAUACUCAAUUCUUCUGUCUCAAAAAGAGAUUAAAGUAUCAACGAAAUUUGCUCACGAGAGGUCUUGGAGGGGUCGAAAUAGAGAAUAGAAAAGCAGAGGAAUGGGCAAUUCAAACGCAGUGUUGGUCUCUUUAUCUCAUCAAUAGUUUCGCUCGCAAAGAGAAGCAUCUAAAUUUUAUCUGUAAAACGAAUUUCUUGAAGAAUUUGUGCGGAAUUUGGGGUGGACUGAUAAACCCAGAAGCCCCUGGUGGAAUUGGGCUUUUGAGAACUCUCUGUAAAACAGAGACUGGAAGAAAAGCUGUGGCGGAUGUGGAAGAAGUCCUGAAAUCCCUAUGCGUUCUUGCAAGAACCUCAGAUGAAUGGCAGAUCAUGGCAAUUGAAUGUCUUUUGAAUCUGAUCAAAGACCCAGAAACAAGAUAUAGAGUUCUCGAAACCUCUGUUUUUUCUCUUGUUGAUUUGGUAGAGCUUGAAACUGGAAUUGAUAGAAAGAAACAAAAAUUGGGAGACAUUUUAACACGAGCAUUGUUGCAAGAUUAUCACAAAAUCAAAUACGGAAAUCAAAAGCUUUACAGUGAAAGAGCAACGAGAGCAUUAGGGGAACUUUGGGAUUUGAAAGUUGAGAAGAAGAGAAAAGAGAAAUUAAUGUCAGAGAAAGAGAUGAAAAAGAGGAAACUCUUAGUGGGUAUUCUCAAAAAACAGGGGAAUCACAAAUUUAGAAUUGGAGAAAUUGAAAAGGCUGCGAUGAAAUACACAGAAGCUUUGAAUAUAAGCUUACCGAAAAUGAGAAAACAGAGGCUAGUACUCCAUAGCAACAGAGCUCAAUGUUUUCUUUUGGUGAGGGACCCAGAAGCCGCCAUUAGCGACACGACUCGAGCUCUGUGUUUGUCGAAACAGGGGAGUCCUCACAUGAGAAGCCUAUGGAGAAGAUCGCAGGCUUACGAUAUGAUGAGAUUGAGCAAAGAAAGCUUAAUGGAUUGUUUGGUUUUUGUUAGCUGCAGAAUUAAGUUGAAGCACAAGAUUCCGUUUUAUGCGGCUCGAAUGAUCAACAAGCAGAUGAAUGCGACGUGGGUAUUUGGUUCUGUGAAAUUAAGAACCUUGAAUAGUGAUGAAGAUCUUGUUCGAGAAUCGGUAAUGGGGGAAUGUGGAGAUGGGAGGAUGUUGAUGAUGAAGAUGAAGCAGAGAAAGAAUGGUUAGAUGAGCAUUGAGUUUAAUCAAUGUGAAGGAUGUAAGGAGGUGGUAGUGGUAGUGGUAGUGGUACAUAUUAAUUAAUGGAGGGAAAAAUUGAAGGGAGGAUGUGAUGAUCUUUGUGAUGCUUUGAAAUCCAUGUAAUUAAUCUCAUUUAGAGUACCUUUGAUUCAAUAUUUCUGUUGGUUUUCACAUAUUUGAUGUUAGUUUAAAUGGCAUGAAUUUGUAUUAUCAAAAAUUGUUGGAAGUUGGAUUUUCUCUACAAAAUAUAUAUACAUAUAUAUAUUGAGUACUAGAUCUCUUGCCAAUCCCAUGCCCAAUUGAAUUCUGUGAAGGUAGAUAAAUAGACAUGUAAUUGAAGUUUUUAGUAUUUUCAACGUGCAUUUUCAUAAUUGAUCUAAGGUAAAAUGUUCAAAAUGGUAAUAUGUUUAUGAAUAAUAAAAGUCAUCUUUUUUCUUCUCUUUUUCGAGUUCAAUCAAGAUAGAAUGAAUUCAAACCUCCAACAUAACUGAAAAGAGUAAGUAUCAAGUAUAGAUAAAUUAUCGUCACUUUAACAAUGAAGAAAAAACGAGUUAUGCAUACGAAACAAAUAUCUCGUUGAAUUCAUAAUAAUUAUUAUACAAUAUAUUAUGUUAUCCAUGUUUUGAUUUUAAUAAAAGUGAAAUGAGUCUUUAACAGGAGGCUUUUUUUAAAAAAAAAAAAGUUAAUUAUCCCUCAUAAAAUGUAAAGAUAGAUAGAAUGAUAAAAUAAAGAAGCUAUUUUGAUUAUAGAAUCUAGAACUCAAUUUCACCACAGACAAAAUUUUAUUUGAGUCAUAAGGUACAGAAUUUUGUUUUUUCAUUUUCCUCUAGCCACUCUUGAUAACCAAUUGAGUUGUGUGAAUAGGUUUGAAAAAAAAAUUAAUCUAUCGUUAGUCGUUAGGGAUUGUAACAUUAAAAAAUGUAUAAAAUCAAUUGACCAACUGCACCUAUAUUUUCAAUAAUUUCAUAGCGAUUCUCCAUAUAUAUAUAUAUGUAUAUAUUAAUUUUGAAAUUCUUUUAGUGAUAUUGAAAUUGGAACAAUUGGGGGGUUACACUUGUGAUAUGUUGUAAAAUGCAUAAGUUGGUUAAAGAUGCAAUAAUCUUAUUUUAUUUGCAAAUUGGAGAGACCCUGAAUGAAGACGAAACUAACCAAAAUCUUUAGUCACCAUAAUCAAAUUUCAAAUCCUACCUAACUCAUCAAAAACACAAGCUAUUUAGGUCAUAUCCAACAAAACCAAUAUUAAAUUACCAUAAUUAAUCUAAUCAGUGAAUUACAGCAUCGUCAAAUAUGGACUCGAGGGGCUAUAGACUUUUUAGCCAACUCCAAUAAUAGAAAUUAUAAUAUUGACAUAAGUGGUUAGUUGCCCCUUUUUUUGGUUUAUAUGUUGAACAAGGAGAAAAGAACAGAGUAUGAGCAAUAUCUCAUUUGCAAAUCUGAAGGUCUUGUCCAUUGUGUUUGAACAUUAAAAAAAAAUCGAUGGCCCCUCUCUUAGUCUUGCCUCAUUCUUUUACAAACCUCUCUAUGCAAAGCUCAUCCACCCAUCAUCUACGUAUUUUCUCAUCAAUUUAUUGCAUCAAAGAUAAUUUAUGAUAUAGAGAGAUCAUUGAUAUGACACUGCCUCGCAAUUUCAAAGAUGUUCUCUCUUUUUCAAUAGCAUUUAAGAUCCAUUUGAUGUUAGGAAUUUGCGUAUUGAAAAACAGAAAAGUCAAACGAAAUCCAUAGUAUGAUAUACAUACAGACAUGAACUCAGAUCAAAACCUGUUGUAAUAUUCCACUUGAAAUUGAAUUGAAGGGUGCUCUUUAAGAAACGAGUUCGAUCACACAAGGAAAUAUGUCUUCUUAAUUUAACGAAAGGGUUGGUUAAAAAGUCUUAUAACCCCAAUAAAAUCUUAAUUACAUAUUUCCCAAAACCAAGAUUUCAACAAUUUUGUGAAAUAUUGAAGAAAAAAAAAACUCGACGAGAUUACUAGAACGAUGAAGAUCUAAACAGGAUCUAUACAUGAAUAAAGAUACAGCUGCAAAUUUUAUUAUCAAGAGUUAACUGUACUGUAAGUAAAUAUAAUGAAUUUUUACACUGGAAAUGAAGGGAAACUCAGAAAGGGGCAGAAGAGAGAAGAGAGAAGAGAGAGAGAGAGAGAGAGAGAGAGAGAGAGAGAGAGAGAGAGAGAGAGAGAGAGAGAGAGAGAGUCUAGAAUGUUAUACUCCUGUAGGGGUUAACGACCAAAUUUGUGUGUAUGCUUUCAGUUUCUAGCUACAGAUGUUGAGCCAUGUGUCCACUUGAUUGACAAAGAACACACGGUUGAUUUCAAGAAACGAGUCUGAAUAACAAAAUCACAUCAGCGUUCCUCCUGCACUAGAGUCGAAUUUAGUCAGGAAUCUUACAAUUUGGAGUACUCGUUGGAAGAAGGUUGCAAUUCUUCUUAGUUGAAACAUUUAAAACAAACAUUAUCAUAAGACAUGCUUACAGAUACCGUCAGCAGAAGACAAACAAAAGGGGCUGAUAUAAGAACGUGUAUUGGAAAAAAUUAGUGCAAACUGUCACGCAAGUUAUUAGUUAAAUUAGUUUUCUCUUCGAUUUACGUUCUGUAGCUUUUAUUUAAGGCAGUGCCUCCUAAAUUGGAGGAUAGUGGCAUGAUGGUUUAGUGGAUUGAUUAGGAAGAUUUUCUAGGUUAGUGGUAAAAAUGUAAGGAUAAUGCAUUAGGGGGUAGUUUCUUAUACAAAAACUUGUUUUCAAGUCAAUGAAUGUAAAAUUGAAACGCAUGAUCCUCGCUUUUUUUUUUCCUCUUGUUUCCAGCUUUUGUUCUAUUGGUUAUAGUUUUUACUAUAGUUUCACCUCAAGAAAACAAGGAAGGGAUGGAAGAAAAAAAACAACAGAGGAGAACUUAAGGGAUGGGUGGAUUCCUAACUAAAUUGGGGUACCACUGUUGUACUUGCUGUACAUGUUGACACAGUGUGAACUACCAUAAAGUCCAAUGCAAGUAAAUCUUUAACAUGCAACAAACUGCCAUUGGAAAAUAAAAAGGACCGCUACCAGUAUUUUACAUUUUUUUUAAGCUAAAAAAAUGAGCAUUUUCAAUUUUCAUGAAAGAAAAAAAAAACGGACUACUUACCAUAAGACAACCUUUGAGGAGCUCAAUCAUCAUAUGAACUCAAAGCAGCAACAACCGACCCUGUUGUUUUAAGAGUUGAUGCCACAUCCGGAUAUUCUUUCCACGAUGUUGUCAUCUUUAGAGAUGGAUAUAACCAACUCUUCACAGAAUCAACAAAAGAAUUUGGAUCGAAGUUCAACAUAGCUUCCCAAUCCACUUGCAGUCCUCGAGGAAUGUUCCCACAGAACUCCAUGUUUGCUGCAAGAAGCAAUCCAAGCAAAACAACAAAUCCAACAGCCGCAGAACCCCUUGAUAGUGGCAUAAAAUUGUACCUAAAAUGCAGUUGAGUUUUUAAAACCCUGCGAAAUUGACAAUCGAAAUAGUAACACAACAGUAGAAAUACUCUACCAGUAAUAGAUCAUCCUUAGAAUUGAAUCCCUCACAGUUUCCAGAGUACUAAAAUCCAUAGAUCCAUAGUUUUCUCCGCAAUAAGCAUUGCAUAUGCUCUGAAAAAUCAAGUGGUGAGAAUAGUACACUUGAAUAAAUAAUAUUAUAUAAAUAUUGGCUUUCGCCAUGCAGUGUUUAUACUAGUCUAGCUAGUUCGAAAUCAGAGUUAAGAAAUUGGGAGCCCGGAUUACAUCACUGAAUCAAUCCAAUGCUCUGAUAUGUAAAGUAUUCCCUCCCAAAUCACAAUGUUUUACUCGAGAUUAUGUGGUUAAAUGUCAUGUCAGACUAGGAAGGUGGAACCAUGUUGGUCACCAAUACGUGUUCAUGUGCUUAUCCCAUUGAAGUCAUUGCAUGUAGGAACACAAAUAUUCUGAUUAUCUACUUGAAAAGUUUUUUUUUCAAAAAAAAAAACAUACUCUCUUCUCAUACACCGAUCACUUACAUACUGCAUGAACAUGUCAGAGAAGUGGGGCCCUAAUUGUUAGUUAGCAUAUGAGCCUUACUAGUAACUAAUGUAAUGGCGUAGGCAGAUGGCAAACAUCGUGAAGAGUAAAAUAGUAUCAGCUUAAUGGGGUUGACAAGAGAGGAUAUGUAGUUGGUCAGCACCGUCUUGUAUUUUGGAAAAGGUAAGGAAGCUCUCAAGUUAUCCUUCGCUUAUAUCCAUUGUAUCCAAUGUUAAGAUUAGAUAACAUGAAAUUUCACCUCAAAAUCAAUUGAAAAUAAGAGUGACCCAUUCAUGUUAUAAAGAGUGUGAGAUCCCUUGAUUUUUCCAAGGUGGAUUCCUUAAUAUCUCCAUCUCAAGAUAAUGGCUUUUUUGGUUUCAUCAUUCUUUAAUUAGAUCCCAAUAAAUAUAUUGGACCGAGUACCCGUUUGAACUUUAUAUACUCUGAUGCGAUAUUAGAUAACAUGAGUUUUCAUCUCAAAAUCAAUUACUAAUGUGAGGAGUAUCUUAUCUAUCUUAUAAAAAUGGUAAGGUCCCUUGAUUUUUCUAGCAUGGGAUCCUCAACUGUUCAUAAAUAGUAUUAUCUAGCUAUAUCAUUCUCUUAUGAUUUUGCCAAUGUGUGGGGACUGACAGGUUAAAACCAUGACAUGAGACCUUGGAAGGUAGAAUUUGGAUGAUGUUCUCAACAAAAGGGUAUCCUAAUGGUUGAAGAUCUUAAAAAUUCAGAAAGGUAUACCAAGCGCUGAAAACCGAACUUGCAUAUAGGGAAAAAUAUUUUCUACCCUCUUUCUCCACAAAUGUAAUAAAUGUAAGAGGUUACAUCCAUAUUUCUAGAGUGGCAUAUUCCGUGAAUAUCCUAAGCUAUGUUUGCACAGUUACAUUAAAGAAAAAAAAAGAAAAAAAAAAGAGAGGAAAUGUCUAUGCUCUAAAACGCUACAUGCUAGGAAGGGUAAACAGAUGUUAGUGGCAGUCUGUUAGAAGAGUAAAAAUAUAUUUGUUGGACGGACUGUAGGCAAUCUUUUGUUGGCUGCAUUGUGGAACAGGUAAAUGAAAUUCUUUUCUCAUAUAUUUUUAUAGGAUCAUCGGAUUCUAAAAACGCAGCAUAGCAUAGGAAGAAGGUGGCUUAAAAGGAAAUGGAUAGCAAGGGGAUGGAAUGGAGAAGGAAUUGGUAAGUGUAUGGAGCAUCCAACUCACAAUAUGGCCUUUUCUUUUAUUUUUUAAAUAUCUGUGAAAAUUUGGGUCACCUUGACUAAUGUCACAAGAUAACCCAUUUAGCUCUACAAAAUGUGGCUUGUCUAUUCGUUGCUCUCGAUGAUAUGCAUAAAACCAAGGCUAUAAUAAUUAGUUACAAAACUUGGUUGAAGGGAAAAUGAUUUGAUACUAAAUGAUAUACAAAGCCCUCAGAUAUUGGUUCAGCAAGGAAACACGGUAGAAAAACCAAACUAGAGGAACAGAAUGCUAUUAGUGUUCCUAGGGGAUUAUGGGUAAUAGAGAGGCUAGAAUAUCAGCAAGGCAGCACCAACUUGAAAGGUGGUUAGGUAAAGAGAUAGACAUGGCAGCGUCGAUGCAAUCCAAUUGCCUUAAAGAAGCUUCUAGUAUGUUUGGCAAUUGAUAUAAAGAGGCCAACCCAAAAGAUAUUCACUCACACGUCUCCCACAAACUAAAAUUACCAAGAAUUAUGCCCACUCUCCAAUAUUUUUAAGUUCAGAAUCUCUCUGCAGUUGUUCAAGUUCAUAUCUUCAGGCAAAUAUCAAUGGCAACAGGAUCAAACAAAAGAUCUACAAGUAACAUACUUCCCAUGCCAUCGCCAUCUCAGCAUCAAAUUCUUCCCAUCUGGAAGGUGUACAUGGAGUUCUAAUUGCAAAAUCAAAUCCACGCUCUCCCCUAAAAUGAAAAUAUUGGAGAGGGAAAUGGUUAGAAUAAAAUAACAUACAUUAUAAAAAUUGCAAAUAAAGCAAUAAAGAUGUGACUAAUUUACGUCUUGACUAGUGUAAUCCUUGUCCCUUCUAGUUGUUUCCUGAAACAAUAAUGAAAUGACAGAAAAUAGGCGUUAGAAGACAUUCAGAGAGUUCAAGGCAAUCAUUUGCAGGAGGGAACAUUUAAAGAGUUCAAAGCAAUUAUUUGCAGGUCUAUUACCCCUCGAAAGCAGUACUGUUGCACCAGGUAGCCAACCAGAAGUCCUCACCAACCACUUUAUAAAGAUCAGAGCAUGACUUUGCUUGCAUAAUCUGCAAUAAAUGAACAUUACUAACACAUGUUAUCUUCUCCUUUUACUAGAUAACUAACAUGUGUUAUCUAAAGGGGCAAAAAAUUCAAACACAAUGGAAAUAAAGAAAGAAAAUCCAAUACAUAUUAACAUAACAAAAUUUUCUUCCUUUUGGAGCAUUCUCCAUAAAGAAUUUUGUAAUUGCAGAUUUUUUUUGCCAAUUGGAAACCUUUCUCUAACCCUCUGCUUUUUGGGUAUAUCUAAUUUCCCAUCUUUUACAUAUGCCUUUCUAGUUUCUAUCUAAUACAAUUCUUAGUUGCUUAUCAAAGAAUAAAAAAUAGAUGAUGUGAGAAUGUACUAAUGGUUAUAAAAAAAACAGGAAACAUUUUGUAAUUCUUGCACGCUAUCAAGGGGCUUGAUAAAAGGACAGUAUAUUCAUUCGACAUUUGUUCUCACGUUCCAAAACUGGCUGAAGGUUUCUAAUCCACAAAUAUCUUAUUAAAAUUCUUAAUAUUUUUGUUAAUUGUAUAUGUACGUAUAAAAUAUGAGAAACUUCCAAAAUGGUGACAGAGUUUGAUAUACCAAUCAUUUCUAAACUGCAAAUUAAUAUCUUGAGUCAUCCAGGAACACCCUUGGGAUGCACGGCCAUACAGAAGGAUACCAAGUUAUGCAAACUUCUCAACAUAUUUUGCUUGGUUACAUUCUAGACCUCGAAAGUUAUAUUUGUUACAACCCACUAACCAAGAAUACUAUGGUCUCUUCUCAUGUUCUUUUCCACGAAGAAAAUGUCCUACCUUUCAGUGACCCUAUAGUCCACUCUAAGCCACACCUACUCCCACCUCUUCGUCUGACCCCAUCUCCUUACAUAUGAAAAUAUUGCAUUUUAUAAAUGAAGAAUACAAAAAUAAUCACUGGAUUCUGCUAAACAUUCAGGAAAGGAAACUGCGAGAUAAUCAGAAAUCACGUUGAACAAUUUGGUAAUUUUUCAAAACAAAUGAAGAUAAAAAAACUCACAUUUUGUAAUUUUCCAUCUUCUCUCAGAUCCACCAUCAAGUCUGACUUGUUGUACACAAAGGGUUUGUGUUUAAUAACCGCUUUUGCAACUUCUAAUGUCCUGCCGACCCAACAAUUGUUAAUACAGUCCACCAAUACUUGCAUGAAGAACCACUAUAUUCUUUUUACCUCUCAAAAUUUGGAUAGUACCGAACCACUUUUGCUUGGCCAAGAAUCAUCGGCGUAUGGGAUCCAAAUCCAGAAUUGAACUCUUCACUAAAAUAAUGUAAUGUCCAAAAUUUAGACACUGCUAUAACAGUGAAUUGGUGUUCCAUAUUCAAAUGACAAGACAUGAAUAAAAAAAUUCUUUCAAUAAUAGGAUAUUGCUAGUUAAGUGUAAACAAAUUCAUGGGCGGCCAAAUAAAACUUCAUUUAUUGAGGAAUACCUUAGUUUGUUAAUCCAUACAACAGGAUCACAAGGUUCAGAAAUUUGUCUCCACUUGACAGCAAAAGAGAAGACAUCUUGCCAUGAAAUAAAAUUAUGACCAGAUAAUCUAUCUUCCAGAUGGCUACUUGAAGAUGGUUCUGAAAAGCCACUGGUACUACAACCUGCACCACCUCUGUUCUGGCUGGCUAUACUGGGCCUUUCUCUUCUCCGAGCUCUUUUACCAUGCUUGGUGUUACUUUUAUUGGAACAUUUCCAUUCUGCUAGCAUUGCACGCCAAGUUCUCGAAACCUUUUGAGCAACAUCAAUGACAGCUAAUCCUGCCAUGCGAUGCUGGUAAACAGAAAGAUCAGAUUCAAUAAUUCUUUGGAACAAGUGAUUCCUUUUUAAUAAUCCAGAGAAAUGACAUGCAAAAACAAGAGAAGACGUUGGAACUUGGAAGUAGCAAGAGUGGAGAAUGCAAAAUACAGAAAUAUCAAAUGAAUGCAACUAUUUUCUUGUAAUCCAAAUUUGAUUUCAAAUUUUUUUGCAUACAGUUAUUUGAUGGUUGAGAAAUCAACUCCAGCACAUCCAUGUAUAAACAACAGCCAAACAAUAUUUCGACCACUGAAGAUGAGAAUUAGCAACAUAUUUUUUACUUUUGUACCUUAAAAGUUGAUUAAUGCCAUCUUAUUUCAAAAACCAAUCAAUUUAAGUAAUGAUUGUCGCACACAUUUGGGUUACAAUAAAAUCAGAGAUAGUAGUAGCAAAAGGCACAUUAAGUCAUAUCUUUCUAAUUAUGGUGAGUGAAAGUGAUAUGAUGAUAACAUACAAAAUAUAGCUCUUCUUAUAUUCGAUGUUCAGAACUUCCAAGAAACAAUAAAAAUAAAUAGAUAGAUAGAUAGAUAGAUAAAAAAUAAUAAUAAAAUAUAUAUUAAAAAAACAGAAAAGAGAAAGAAAGAAAGAAAACUGUACAUUUUUUAAGAGAAAAUUAGCAAUCAGUACAGCAUAAAUGUUUAACGGAAUAAGUUGGAAUAUCAGACAUGCUGCAGGAGAUUUUGAUAUAAUUUUCAAAUUUAUUUUUCACACUGAAUCACCUGACGCCGGUUUGACAAGAACCCAGGGCAAUCAUACUGGAUUUUUCUCCCAGUAGUAUCGGCAGCCAAUAGAAGAGAUAUCUUCUGCUUUGUCAUGCCAUGUUCUUGCUUUCUAAGUCUACCUUUCUUUAAAGACUCACGUAUUGGAGGUUGUCUGAAAACCUUUUCACAAACAUCCUUUGGGUGCAAUCGUUUACACCAAUACUCCUAAUAUGCAAAAGUAUGAUAUGAGUGAUAUGACCGCCACAUGAGUUAAGAAAUUGUGUCAAAACUUGAAAUCACAGCACAGAUGCCUAGAAUCUGAAAAACAGCUUUGCACGUUUGAACCAUUUCCUAUUAAGAGAACUAUACUAAGUAAAAGUUACAAACUGAUAGGAGAUGCAACAAUUUACAUCACUUCAUGAAUGCAUCAUAUACUACGUCAUGAUACAGAUAUAUUAUAUAAGGAUAUACUAGAACGCUAAAAGAUAAUUAAACUGCAAAUUAAUAGGAAGAGGUACUGCAAGAAUAUAAAAUUUACUAUUAAAUAUCCAAUAGAUGAAAAUUAUUUGCUACAGUUCUGUUAUUAUUUAUUCUUAAAAUGUAUCGUUUCAAAAUCAUUGUGCACAGGAACAAGAACAAUCUUCAGUGUCUCAAGUCUGCAGAGAACUAAGUGCAAGCCAGCAGUUCAGAGAACUUUGUCAGACAACUGUUGAAGCCUCGCUCUACGCUAACAUAAAGAGAAGACCAUGAAGCAAGUUGGACGUUCAUUUUGUACAGUAAUUUGGUAAUGCAUAUUUUUGCAGGUUCCUCUUGCACUCCAUAAUGCAAAAACUAUUUCACAAUAUUUUAUCUGGUUGAUUUUAAUUAACAAACUGCAAGGGAAACCAGAAGCAAGCCAAUAAUACUUAUCUUUAACACAACCCCUCUACAAAAUUAUUACUAUAGUCACGACUAACAAUGUACUUUUGAUCGUUUGGUUUGGUUAAUUGUACCCUAUACACUGUUAAAUCUUACCAUUUCAUUUCCAUUCUUGUCCCUAUCACACCCUCGACUUUAGAGAGUUAAGGCAGGUUUGAGGACUACCUUAACAGGAUUGAGAAGUUCUUGCCAGAAAAAUUGUCGUUAAUUUUUUUUAUUAUCUUAUAAAUUAAAAAAUAAUUAAACAUCACUAAUUAUAUAUAGAAGUAUAUAUUUGUAUAGAAAUAUGGUUAUAAUAAAAAUUCUUCGUGUCUGAAUCAGGUAAUAAAUGUGUUUUUGGUCCAUAUCCCAAAUCAAAGUAGAAAAAAAUAUUGAAAUAAAACUAUCGAUCGUGACCUCAGUCCCAACUGAAACAACAAUUUUCCUCCAUGCUUAGAGGCAGCCUGCUAGGUAGGAUUACUAUUUGAGAUGAUUAGCAGGGUAAACAAGUGUGAUUCAGAUCAACAAGAACUAGACUUUGACUAGUGGUUUUUGGAAAAUUUAGAAAGCAAAAGCAUGAGAGCAAAAUAUCUUCCCCCGUUCCUCAAGUUUAUUGAUUUUGACGGAAAAACGAUCAGAUAUAACUGCAGCAGUUAUUUGUAUUGCAAUAACUACUCUUUUAUAUAAUUAUUUUUUCAAAGGAACAACAUUAAUGAAAUAAGAAAUUCCAAGGGUAUCUUCAUUUUACUACAGACAGAAAAUCUUAUAAAUUAACUGAGUAGAAAGUCCAAAAAUCGUGAACUUGAACUAAAAGCUUUACUUGGCAGCGACUAUUACACCAGCACCAAAUAAAAACUCACAAGAAGAAUUAAAAAUAAGAGUGAAAAAUAAAAAUAAAAUAAUAACAAAUGAACCAAAUACUUAUUGGGGCCAGCACCAACUGUACUUCAGUGAGAUGAUAAUUAAUAGUUCCUGAACAUAUUUUCUAGUGAAAAGGAAAAUAUUUAACUAGAAAAUAAACAGGUUUAACAGUAGAGAUCGUAUUUCAACCCUUUUCUAAUGUUUAAGAAUAUAAUAGAUCAAACUAAAAGUUUAAGGACAGCUGCACAGUAACUUCAGAGUGGAUUUUGCAAAUAACUCUCAACACUAACUUCCAUUAACAUGCUUAUCAGAAAAAAAUUGUAUUAGGUUACUUUAAAUCAUAGCUAUACAUCUGCAUUUAAAAGUGAGUAAGACGGCAUAAUGCAGGGAAACAUGCAAGCCGAUGAAAACUUAAUUAAAUCUUCAAUGACUGAAAUUGGUAAGGAGGAGAUGGUUAUAGGCAUGACAAGAAGGUAAAGAAAUGAUUCAGUACAACAAAAAAGAAAAAAAGACGAAUAUAAUUAAGAAGAAAGUGCACCUUGAAGAGUGGAUCAAUAUCCCCAUCAAUAUCAAACCAACAAAAGUCACUACUGCUUUUAGAUGCCGUGUACAAAGCAAUUUCCUUCUGCAAUUCGUGAAAACAAAGAAAUAUUAUGCACUUCAAAUUAUUAAAAUUGUCAAAGGUGCUUCAGAAAAAUCAAUUUUAUUUUAAAAGCAUUUCUUCCCAAGUUAUUCCAAACACACUUAAAGUGAACAGACCAAUUAGUAUACAAUUUUAUUUUAAAAGCAUUUGGUUCUUGGGUAGUUGGUUUGGUUGUUACUUGCUUUCAAUAUAUUGGGAGCCUUAUUUGGAAACAGGGAGUUUUUCCUUCAACAAAUAAUUUUUCCAGCUAGCUUAUUGCAUUACUCUGGCUGACCAUACUUUGUGAAGCUAGAGACGUGGUUCUAAGGAAAUGACAGAAUCAAUGCCCGUUUCAACCUUGUUUACCCAUAUCCUAAGUGAGGAUAAAAGGCAACCAAACUUGUCAAACCAAAAACUCUCUCAAUCUUUUUCCUAUUCAGUAGGUAGAAAACAAGAAACCACCUCCUAAAUACGUGAUCAUGCAAAUUCUGGGCAGAAUUGUCAUCCCUAGAUUCAUCUAGAAACCAACCUGAUAGAAUGCUAGGCAUUGAAGCACAAACUUCUCCAUGGAAUCUAGAUCCAAAUCCAAGGUAGCAUCAUAGUCCUUAACCUGCCAAAAAUAGGACACCAAGUAAGACAAAAUUGCAAGAUCCUUUGAAAAUGAAAAUCAAAUAAAGCAAUUGAUUAUUGUACCGCUAAUCCAUAUUCUCCGAUAGCGUGGUAGCAGGAAGCUCGCAAAUACAAACACUCAAUGUUGGCAUUCUCAAUUUUCAACCCAAUAGAUAAAUCCUUGAUAGCCUUUCUGCAAGUGCCGACUAGGUUAUAAAUUAGAAAAGAUGCAAGUAACAAGAUGACUAAACAAUUGUACAUGUCACAUUUGUUUUCAGUACCCAGAAAAUUCAGGCUAUUACAUAUGUUGUUAAAAAAUGAAAGAUGAGAUAAACAGGUUAAGAGAGACGAUGUUAAUAUUUUCUGCUUCAGCAAAAACUUUGGAAAAUAGGUAAACUGUGUCCAUUCCACCAGGUACGUUUUAUAUUUUCCAGUAUACAUUCUUCGUUGGUUAUGUUUCAUUAUUGGGAUUAAAUCUACUUAGCACUCAAGGAGCGGUAGACUGUUAUAUUGCAUCAUACAGACACUUAGUGAACUCUAAAAAUUUGAAAUGUAGUAUCAUUAACUCGAGCACUCAAAUAUAUUAGGACUAAAUUGCAUAUUAUUGAAAACCAUCUGAUAUGAGCAACGUUUAACUUCAUAAAGCUUUAAACCUAAGCAUAGAAGGAAUUGUAUUCCAAAUUGAAAGUCUAAUUAGAAAUUACCUCAAAUUCAAAAAUUGCAAUCCCUUAUGUUUUCAGGGGUUUGAAUCUCACUUGGAGCAAGUUUACAUUUCCGCUGGCUUGAAGGUAUGGUAUAGCUAGCAGUGGUGGAAGUCUUAUUCAUAGUUUCAGCAUUCGGCUGCAAGCUCUCAAGUUUUUUUUUUUAAUGUUUAUUUAUUUUGAUCGCUAAUCUCUACAUGGUUAUAUUUUAAUUAUUUCUAUCUUUGUUUUUUCUCUUUUCACUCCCUUUGAGAGUUUGUGUAACAUCCAAGUUCAAAGGGGUACAUGAAUGAACAACAAUCACCUUCAAAUGAGAGAGAUCCUAAGGAUAUGAAAGUAUGGCUAAGAAAAGCUUAAAAGUUACAUCCAAACCAAAAGGUGUGCCUUUCUUUUUGGUGGCUCAAUCACAUAAACUCCAAAGUUAAGUGUGCUUAGCUUGGAACAAUCCUAUGCUAGAUGUCUUCCUAACAAAUUUCCUAAAAAGCACGUGAAUAAGAACAAAGCAUGCUGAAACGACCCAAAUCCUUUCACUGUUGGACAGUUUAAGAAAAGUUGAUAGUGUGGCCAUGUCAUAGAGGAUGCAAGAGAAUGUCAGGAUCACAAAUCCUAAUCCAAAUCCAAAUCCUAGGUCUAGGACGUUAUAGUUUGCUUCCUCGAACAUUAAUUCCUUUCAAUUAUUUCUUGUUCAAAGAAACAAAACAACCCCUUGUAUACAACUUUUACUGUAACUUUACAAACUCCCAUUCAAGUCAUAUCUCCCACAAAUUGUAAGUUCCUUUUUAGAAAGUUGUCCCUUAUCUUCCCUUCAAUUUUUACUCUUAAUUUCUUUUUUCAAGAGAAGUCUUUAAGUGAAGAAUCAAGGCUCUUUGGAGGAAUAUCAUCAAGGAUGGCACUUGUCAUUUUGAAAGAAAAAAAAUCAUCCAACAAUGGGGCAACCAGCAUAAACAUCAAAGCAUUAUUUACAACAACACUCUUAGUAAAGUUGGUAAUGGCUCCUCCAUGACUUUUUGGUCUGAUUUAUGAUCUUUGGUUUUGACCCCUCAAGCAUUGCUUCCCUCAUCUCUUUGCCAAUGCCAAGUCCAAAGUUGCCACAAUUGAAGAGGUUGCUCUCGGUCCUUCAACUACCCAAGACACCUCAAAAAAGAUGGCAUCAAUUAAUGGCAGUUUUACACACCUCGCCGCAUCAACAAAAAAUUUACACACCUUGUCGCACCAACAAAUAGACCCUAAAGGUAUAGGGAGAGGGGUGUUAGGUACCUAAGUUCCUGAACACAGAAAAUACACAAAGACACCCAAUAAAACACACAAACACCACCAAAACAGGGUGUUACAGCCUCCAGUGUGACACUAUUAUUUAUCAACAGAUAUCCCAAGAGUUUGAGGAUAAUUUCUUUGCUUUGGCCCAUGUUUUUGGUUGAUCCUUUUGUACUCUUUGAUUAUUCUUGAUGAAAGUGGUUUUCUCAUUAAAGAAAUAAUAAAAAAAUAAAAUAAAGGAAAAGGAAAAAAUAACAAUCCAACAUGAACUCCAAAAAAGAUUGAUGAGGCAAAGCAUAUACCUGUGUUCUCCCAUCCCAUGGUACAAUAGCCCACGCAAAUGAUAUGCUUUUCCAAACCUAUCAAUCAGACAUUAUGACUUUUUAGAUGGAUUCCCCUUUAGCAAUCAAUACUCUGAAAAGGUUAUUAAUGAAAAUAAACAAGCAAAAUAUUGAAGAAUUGUCAGAAGCGUGGUUAAAAAGGAACGAGGAGCAAAACUAACGUGCUGUCUAUCUGUAGAACUUGAUGAAGACACUCCAAAGCCUUUGUUGAAUUUGCCAAAUCUUGAUAGAACUGUAUAAUUUAGUAUCAUAAUUAACCACACUUUAUAUCUUAGAAAAAGCAGGGCAGGGGGAAGCAAAAAAUAAAAAAUAGUCCAACUUGCAAUCCAAAAAGGAACUGCUUGCUCUUACAAUUUCUACUGGAAUCUGAACAUCACACACUGAUCAUAGUGUUUGUAUCAAGAAUAAAACAAAAUUAGAUAAUUUGCUCUGGAGACUAAUAGAUGUGUCCCUGAAGUAGCUAGCCUGCAUGGUUUUCGCUUUUUAAUUUUUAACCAAGAGGAAUUACAGUAAUAUUAACCCUUAGCAGCAAUAGGAGGAAUAUAAUUUAGGCUAGGAAGGCCUCCCAAACUCAGAGAUCACAAGAAAACAUCUUUAAUAUUCACUAUUCACAUGCUACCCAUUUAAGAAGGCUUCAACUAUAAACAAAAAGAAUAGGCAUUAGCAUUACAACUGGAGAACCAUGUGAAAUUUUUUUAACUUUCUUGGCUUCAUAUGGGGGCUCAUUGAUAGCUAGCUUAUGAGUGUAUAUUGCUGCGAAGUUAAAGAACUUCAUGGAAUUCACAUUAUUAAAGGAAUUUCUGUCUGUAAAGAAAACUGAUCAAUGGUUAGUUUAAAUAUCUUCCGAACUGACAGGUCAUGAAUUGGUAGAUAAGUAUAGAAAAUUUUCCAUCAAUUGACCUAUAUGUAGAAGGUUCUAACUUCAAAGAUUACUACUAGUGGUAAAAGAGAAACUCACAAGCCUGAUUGAAGGAAGAUAAUUCAAAAUUGAUCACGGUAACCAUGCAUUAGCUAAUUAACUGAAUGCCUGGAAUACCAUUUUAACCUCGUGUAAGCAUGAUCAAAUCUAUUCACCAAUGUAAAACAGGAAAGUUGAUCAUCAGUACGUACCUGAGUUAGAUGGCCCCAUGCCUCAAGAAAAUUUCUAUCUAAUUGAAUCGAUUUCAAAUGCGCCUCCUCAGCCCUUUUGUAAUCACCAAUUGAAGACAAUGCCAAGCCCUGGAAACCAUAGUUACUGCUUAUAGUCCAGACUGUAAGGAUUUCUCCCAGAAGAAGGCCAAUAAUUAUAUGCUAGACUCCAAUAUGAUCAGGCAAGUAUGAGACUCACCAAGUAUGUGUAUGCAGAUGUAUUGCACCCAUCAAGUUUGAGGCAUUCAGACAAAUCCUCCACGGCAGCAUAGAAGUCCUUGAAUUUGAAAUUAACAAUUCCUACAUUCAAGUGAUAAAAACUCUGAAGAACAGGGAAUAAACUUUUUGGCUACAACUAAAAAGGCAAAAUGAUGUAAUAAGAGCAAGUAUCAGAUAGAUUACCCCUUUCAUGUAAAAUAUCUGCAGAAUUUGGCUCAAGCUCUAAGGCCUUAGUUAAAUCUUCAAUUGCCUAAAUCAAGAAGGAAUUAAUUACAAAUGUAUUUAUGUCAAGAAUAUAGCAACACAGAAGAUGUUAGCAAUUGUAGAACAAUUCUUGGGAACACAAUCUAACAAAACCUAAAUUCCUAAAUCCUAAUGCUCAAUCAUAAAAUUUUGUAAUAAAUACAGAGGAAAAGAAUAGAUUUUCCUUGAACUUAGCAAGUGCAUCAAUUUCCACUCUGAAUUUUCAAUUUCAUCCAAUUAAACCCUAAGCGGGACAAGUGUAGCAAUUUUUACCUUCAGUUCAUUUUCCACUGUAUUCAUUGACUAAUUUUUACAAAAAGUACAGUAUAGUUUUUACACUAGCUAAUUUCCAUAACAAUCAACGGGCACAAAAAGAGGUCUAAUCAAUGAACCAGAUUGACCAUUGAAUCAAUCUCCCAAAACCCACCAAAAAAAAUCAACAAAAGUUCGGCUCUAGAUCAUAUAUCUAUCUAAGACCCAACCUGAGUAAUGUUUUUCAAUCCCAAUUAACUUCCUACUAGUCAUACAUUUCCAUAAAUUUUAAACAGAAGUAAAUUACAAGAUAAAAAUUGCAAUACUUGUUUAAGUUUACAGUAGAAACUGAAGUGCAUAUCUAAGUUCAGGUUCGAUACAAGCCAAUUAAGUUGCAAAAUAUCAAUGCACUUGGCAAAUUUCAAGUUAAUUUUCUUCACUAGAAAGUAUAUCAUACAUGCCUAGAACAUGCAUUAACUACAAUAUGAUGUUGCUUCAAUUAAAAGGUUGAUUUUUUAAAUACUGAAAUAAAACAACCGAAGCUUAGCAAGAGUAUAUGGCCAUGAAUUUUCCACAUAAAAAUAAUAGGACAGUUAUGGAUGAACAAGGAACAUAAUUCAUUUGAUGAAGCAUCCUCUUGCUAUGAAUAGAGUAGUUGUGGCUACAUGUUGGAUCACUUUUUGAAGUUUCCGAACUAAUAGAGAUCUUAGAGGGCAAAAAUUCAUCGAAAUACUUAUUUUAUAAGACACAGAGCUUCACUGAGAGAAAUGAAAGCAUAUAAAAAAACAUACCAAAAGAAUGAGCCAAAAAAUGAACAAACUACAUAGAGGGCCCCCAAUCCAAAAGAAAAUAAAACCUAUAUGAUAAUUACAAAAGAUCCCUAGUCAUAGAAUCCCAAACUGAGGCCUUCAGUCAACUGAAAGUGUCUCUAUGAUAUUCAAGGAGGGAAAGGGGGUUUAUGGGGAUCAAAAUACUGUUACCAAGAACUAUAUGCUUUUAUCCAAAUGGUAGUGGUGUUUUCUCUUAGAACCAUGCGCAUACUUGCAAGUGGUAUCAAAUUAUUGUUAGCAUAUAUAGGCUUCAACCAAAUGGAAUUGAAUUUAAUUGUGGUUUUCAAUGGAGCCUUUGGAAAUUCUUGGAAGGCUAUGACCCAAUGUGUUUCAUUCAAACUUCUCAAAUUCAUAAAUUACCCAGAGUGGCUCCUAAUAGUCACACAACUUCCACAAAUAAUAUCAAAAAUCCAGAACUAUAUAGAUAUAUAAUUUCCUAAAUUAGCAUCCUAAUCCCUGCUAUGGCAAGCCAAAUGAUAAGAAUCAAACAAGCUACUAGCUACAGCGAAAAGGUUCCAUUAACCUUGAAAUCAUGGUCAUGAGAUCAUUCUUAAACGAUCAAAGAAGAGGAUUGUUGACCAAGAUAUAAAUUCAAACAGUUUAUGCUGAACUUACCUCAGCAGAUGCCCCUAAUGCAGCCCGAGCCUGCCCUCUUCGUUUCCAUGCCUCACCAGCAAAUGGGUUUGAUUCUAAAGCCUGAUAUUUGAUUAGAUUAACAGAACUUUAAUCGAAAAAUCACAUUUCCCUUCCACGUCUUAUCAUUCACAUACCUUCGUAAAAUCACUAAUAGCAGCAUCUAGUUCUCUUUGAAAUGCAUAAGCUGUUCCUCUUCCAAUUAAUGCCUCAGGAUAACUAGGAUCUUCCUUCAAUAUCUGUGGAAAACUAAAAUGGCCCUCAACAUUCUCAAGAUGUUGACAGUUUAGGCUAAGUUUCUUACCCAUUUGUCAUAAAUAUAUUCACAAACAACGAAUGGUGAAAGUAGAAGAGAGAACCGCUUGCUAAGAACCAGAAAUUACCUGGUCAAAAAUAGAAAUAGCAUUUGCAUAUUUCCCUUCAUUGACCUGCCAAAGAUUAGGAUGUGAGUCUUCAGAAUAUUUAUCUUCUAAGUUCUAGAAUACAUUAUAUGAACUAGAAAUAUAGUGUAGACACCUCAGCUAUGCCUCUUGAUAGUCGGAAGUCUACACUUAUUGACUUGGUCUUUGAAAUUUUAGCAACAGAGAAUUUCUUGGUUCUCCUGGCUUCAUCGCUUACAUUACCUCGUACAUCUGACGUUUUACUUGACUUACUUAAAAUGUCAGUGGAAUCACCUGAUUUGCUAUGAAAAGCAGUUAAUUUAGAUUUAUUACAAAACUCAGGCAUAUCGCUUCUUAAAUCAUGCAAUUUGGAAGCAUCACUUAAUCUAUCGUCAUUGUCAGUACACCCAUUGCUUUCGCACUUAAUAUCUCUGUUUGGACCAACUUCUUCACAUCCGCCUUCACAUACUACAAGAUUGUCACUUGAAAUGCUGCAAACUUCAGAUGAAUCACUUGACUUCAUGCAGAAAUCAGGGUGUUCCAUGAGUUUGCCAACAUUAUUAUUUGUUUCCCUACAGUUUUUACUAGCAGAUGUAACUCCUGAUUCAGGACCAACGGUUGAAAAUCCAGAUUCCACCUCUCCAUUUUCCACAUUGUUUUUCUCUUGUUUUUCUCUUGUCAUAAGCUCUUCCAGUUCUAGCAAUUGCUUCAGGUCUGUAGUUUGGCACAAGGCAUACUGGUAACCUCUCUCCCAAAUAGAAAGAGCGUCUCCUCUCUUUCCCAAGGCAAAGUAUGCCUGACCUAAACAACAAAAAUUCCAGACUGAUCUCAACAAAUUUGUCCACAAAUCUCAAAAUAUUUAUAUUUCAACAAGGAACAAAAACACAUGUUAAAAAACAAAAAAAAUCAGAAUUAACCCCAGUGUAAGUUAUAAAAAACGACAGCUGGUUUUGAAGAUAAAACUCAAAAUAACAAUUUUAAAAAAUACUUUAAAAAUGCCCUCCAUUUGGUUUCGUUGGUGAGCAGCAAAUAUAUGUCACGUAGGCAAUUCUGCUACAUGGACGUUCUUAUUGUUCGAUAACAUGUUCAUUUCAAACCAACAGCACAUGGUCCAUAAGAAAUUUAUAGUGUCGCUGAACGUUGGGAACCCAUACCUAUGAAACGAACAACACCCCCCAAGACCACCAGUCCAACGUUCAUAUACCAUUUUUUUUGUUACCGGAUGCUGCAGUGCCCAAUUCGGAAGACCCAUGGUUCAUGCCUCAUUUAGUUGUUAAUUUCUUCGAAUUCCCUAUUGCUCUCAUUCACUCGUCAUGAGUAUUAAACAGAAGACAUUAAAAACUAAAAUCCAAAGCCCUCAAAUCGACAUGCCAGUGAGUUCCGAAAGUGUAAGAAUUAAAGGCUACAGCCACAACUUUUUAUCCCAUCAAUAAUUGAAUUAUCAAAAUCAGCUCAAAACUACAAGAGAAGAGAGCUAAUUGAACAAGCACCUUUGAGCACAUAAGCUUGAAGAAUCGAGGGAUCCAGUUGAAGCGCCCUAUCGCAGUCCUUAAUUACAUGCUUGUGAAGCUCCAAUUGGCUGUAACAGAAUGCUCUAUUGCUGCAAAACCGAUAUUCCGAUAGUUAGACCUGAAUCAACCCACCCGUCCUUUCAAAAAGAUAGAUGAAAAUCGAAAAAGACAACGAGUCAAAGAGAAGUGAGCAAGAAUGGAGAAAAUACCAUAUGUCCUGAACGGUGCAGGACUUUGCUAUGAGCGAGUCGAGGACUCUAAUAGCUUUGGACCAGUCCUUAGAGCGGCAAAAUUUGGCGAGCUCGACUCUCUCAGAGAUGGCCGGAGCCAUGAAUUCAGCUGGACGGAAAAAGAUACUUCCAAAAGAUCAGCCGAUGGCAAAUUCUUUUAUUGUGUGUGCAGUUCGUCUAUGUCGACCAGUCCCUUAUUGACUCUUCAAAGAGAAGUGUGGAAUGAGAUGAUCGCAGCGCCCAUAGUCGACCUGUAUCGAGCUUGAAACGGAAAAUGGGAAACGGGAAGAAACUGAGACUCUCGGAAACGGCGUUGAUAAUAUAUCGAUUCGAGAACGGUGUGUAGUUGUGCACUCGCCGCUAAUAAGCGUGCGUUUCACACGUGUUGUGAGAUGCACUGCGUGAUGUUGUUGGUUGAGUGCGGUGACGUUGUCACGAUUCCUUGAAACCAACAACUCGCUCAAAACUUGGCUUUGUUGGGUUCAAUUACUUCAAACUAAUUAGCUCUUUUUUUCGUAAAAUGUACAUUUUUUAAGGAAAAAAAGUGCACCCUCUUCCUCAUCUUUUUUAAAUAAAUUUAACUACAAAUGUCAAAAUUAAUAAUUUAGAAAAAUAAAUUAUUAAAAAUAAUAAAUUUGAUCACAAAUAUUUAUAAAUUAUAGCAAAAUUUUAUAUUCUAUUUUUGUAAAUAUUUUAUUUUAUUUUAUUUUAUUUAAAAAUUAUCAAAAAAAAAAGAAUCACAAAAUUUAUUUACAUUUGAUGGAGAUAGUUUUAAAACAUUAUAGAUUUUUAAAGAGAUUUGUUUUUUAAAUUCAAAACUUUGACAAUGUAUUCUAAAUACAUUUAAAUUCUGGACAGUUAUAUUUUAAUAUAAAUUAAAGAAACAUAUCCUUAAAAAUUGAAUAUUUAUAUUUUUCGUUUGAAAAUGGUCAACUUAUGAAUGUAAUGUCAUAUCUCAAUUAUCAUGGUAUAAAAUUAACUCAUAAGUCACAAUCUUUUUUUAAAAAAAAAAAACUCUCAUAGCCUACAUAAUUUUCCUCAAAUUUCAAUGAAAAAUCAUAUUGAAAUAAUGUUGACGUGAUAAAUAAUUUCUCCAAAUAUUUAGUUAAAUUAAUGACAUCAACCCACUCACACAAGAAAGAGAGGGAUUGGGAAAAACGCCUUAUAUAUUAAAUUUACCAUCUUAGUUUUAUUUUUUUACAUCAACGUUAAAUACAAUAAUAAUAAUUUUAAAAAAUACCCUUAUCAUGACGAAUGGAUAAAAGGUCGGGAUGAUUUUUCAAGUCUAUUUUAUCAAAUUGAAGUGACUAAAAUUAUUGAUAAAAAAAUGAAAUUAGGUGUGAUUUCUCCAAAGAAAAAUUGUCAUAUUUUUUUUUAAAUGCAUUAAAAAUUUAUUAUUUGCGUGUACAGAGAAAGGAGAUUACGUACAAGCUAUAGUUUCCUGUAAACCCCUAAAUUACUCAAAAACUUAAAAACAAAAGUGAAAAUUGUUGUUGUUAAUUUUUUUUAUCAUAACCUUUUUUUAAUUCAAAGUAGAAAAAUAAAAUUAAAGAGGGCAAAUAAGUAAAUUACCAAAAAAGAAAUAAAAAUCAGAGGGCAGGUGUCACCGUGCAUGCAAUUGCCGGCCCAAAGGGUCCCACUUUCACAUUUCCAAGACCCUUUUCUACCUAUAAACUUUACACACGUGUCAUCUCAAAGAGCUCCCGCAACCGACUGUCGUACACUUCAAAUCAUAAACGGCUGCCGUUGGGUUAACUCUUAACAACAAAAACCACCAGCACCAUUUUGGACUUGGUCGACGAGGUCCGGCGCAGAUCAAAACAUGAGUCCAGUAGAAGAAGCUCACAACGUGAACGUUCUUGGGUCAGGGCAACAAGUAGUUGUGCUAGGGCAUGGGUUUGGAACUGACCAAUCGGUUUGGAAGCACCUGGUCCCUCACCUAGUGGAAGAUUAUCGAAUCGUUCUGUUCGAUAACAUCGGCGCUGGAACCACCAACGCUGACUACUUUGAUUUCAACAGAUACUCGACGGUCGAGGGGUGGGCUUAUGAUCUCCUAGCCAUUUUAGAACAUCUUCAAAUUACUUCUUGUAUUUAUGUUGGUCACUCUCUCUCCGCCAUGAUUGGAGUCAUCGCCUCCAUUAUUCGCCCUGACCUUUUCUUUAAGCUCAUUUUGCUCUCCGCCUCACCGAGGUACUUUCUUUUACAUUACUGAAGGCCAGCGUUUGUAACCCUUUAAUGUUUGUUUUUGCUUUUUUAUUUGUAAUUUCUUAAAAAUUGAUGUGUUUGAUAACUACUUUUUUUUUUAAUUAGGUAGGAAAACUGAGAGAUGAAAAGAUGAAAAAGAAAAAAAAAAAAAAAAAAGCUAAAUAUUUUGAAUUUUCAAACGAACAAAGAAAUAUGUUUGUAAAACUAAAUUUUUAAAGGUGAACACCUAAUUGAUUGUUGGAAAAAGUAAUAAAUUUUCGUAAUUUCAUAUGAGUUGGAAGAGAUAUCUUUUUAGUUCAAGUAUCGAGCCACCUCAUGGCUCGUAUUUUGCUAGUUAGUUAAAUAGCCUUAAUUUUGACGAAUUUUAAUUCUUUUAGAUUAAUUAACAAGCAAUAAUAUCUAAGUGAGUAUUUUGUACAUAAAUCUUGAAACAUAAAUUAGAGAAUUAAAAUUCAAAAUUAACUUAAAUUUAUGUAUGAUAGAAUGUUGAAUUUUGACGAAGAAGUAGAAACUAAACUACAAAAUUUAUAGGAAAAAGUGAACCUUUUACUUUGUUAUCUACAUUAUACAAAAUGGGUUAUAGUCAACCUCCAACUUUUUGUUUCUGUUUUUCCUAAUUAACCUUAUAUUUUAAAAAGUUACUAAUUGUUGUUUAUAUUAAUAAUUGCAAACAUAGCCAUCAAAAUCAAAAUAUUAACGUAAAUAACAAAAAAAGAAUUAAUUGCAAGUAUAGUCAAAAUUAUCAUUUCUACGCAGGUAUAAAAUUAAUAUAUCCAUGACAGUUACCUUUAUUAUACGCAGGUAUCUAAACGGUGUGGACUAUUACGGAGGAUUUGAGGAGGAAGACAUAACCCAAAUCCUAGAAGCGAUGCAAUCAAAUUACAAAGCAUGGUGUUCAGGGUUCGCGCCGCUGGCAGUGGGCGGGGACAUGAAAACAGGUGCGGUUCAAGAGUUCAGCCGGACAUGUUUUAACAUGAGGCCAGACAUAGCCCUGAGUAUCAUGCAGACCAUUUUCGAGAUUGAUACUAGGCCAAUGUUAGGGCUGGUCACCGUCCCUUGUCACAUCCUACAGAGUGCCAAAGACAUGGCAGUCCCUGUCGUCGUCUCCGAGUAUCUGCACCAGAAUAUUGCGGGUCACUCCAUCGUCGAGGUCAUGGAAACGGAGGGUCAUCUCCCUCAAUUGAGCUCGCCUGAUGUUUUCAUCCCUGUGGUGCUUAGGCAUAUCCACCAUGAUAUUGCCGUAUGAGUUUUUUUUUUUUUUUUUUUUGUAUUUUUUCAAAACUCACAAGGGCAACAAAAUUAUGCUAUAAUACUAUCUGCUCUUUUUUUUUAAUUUCUUUCUAUUUUUCUCAUCGAAAAGGAAUAGCAUCCACUGUUUUCUGUGUGAGGUUUUUGGGUUUGGGACUUUUAAGCUUUGAUGAAGUAAUUAAUUGUUAAGGUAUAGUAGAUUGAAUUUUUUUUUUUUUUUUUGUUGGUUUUAGGUUGAGAGCUGUGUUUUUACUUGUAUAUCUAUGGGUCUCAACUAAUAUAAGAACCAUAUUUUUACCUGUAUAUUUAUGAGUAUUAUAUUAUCUAGAUUUUUGGUCGCAUUUUUUCAACCGUUUCUCUUUUCUAGCUAUCCCACCCUAUUUACCAACCAUAUCAAAUGUAUUUUAAUCCUGAAUCAAUAGUUAUAAUACAUUCAAAAAAAUUCAAGGUUGAUUGAAAUUUAAUUAUUUUAAUAGUAAAAAAAAUUAACUUUAUAUAUAAUAUUAAAAUGACAUGAUACAAUUAUACACACAGAAAGAAAAAAAACUUCUAAUCUUAUGUGAAACUAUGCUGAGUUUGGAAUUAUCACCGACACAUGUCUCUAGUCAACUAGCAUCUUUAAAACUAACAUAACUUAGAAGAAUUUAGUGUUACGUUUUAAAAUUAAAAAAAGUAUAUUAUGACUUUUAAAAUUUUAGGAAAUAAAAAAAAUGAAGAUAAGAAUGCAUUUUUAAACUUUUAAAAUUUGGGCGUGGAAGCUUGCAUAUGUCUAAUCUAAUUAAACCUUAUGUUUUCACAGUUUUUAAAAUAUAUAGUUGUUGUUAACUAUGUUUUUCUUAUUAAAAGAUCAAAUAUGAAAGUUGAACAAGUUAGUCUUAGAUGAUUGGUAUAGAUAUAACAACUACAGUUGACUUGACACUAUUACAAAAAUAUUAUCAUAAUUAAAUAGGAGUUUUUUCAAAAGAAAAAAGAAAAAAAUAUAUUUACCUUUCAUAAAAUCACUCAAACAUAAAAUUCAUUACUUUUCUUUUUUUAUAUAUAUAAUUUUUCUAUUAAAUAAUUUAUUUUAGUAUAGACGAUAAUGACCAUGUUCUUUUAAUGUGAUAAUUCAAUUGAGCUUAAGAAAUGCAACAUUUUCUAAAACCAUUGGUAUUUGUUGAUUCUUUGUAAAUGUUUGUUACCGUUUAAUAUACUUUUUGCCUGUGAACGUUAUUCGUGCAUAAUUUUCAUAAUUCGAUUGAAGAUGGUGGUGUAAAUAAUCCACCAAGGAAUCAUUUGUUUGCUCCAUCUACCUAUAACAGUUUCUUUGGGAUCAUAUUUUGACGACGGCAAAUUGUUGGUCAAAUAGAAAUAUGACCCAAAAUCAAUGAAUUGCGAAUAUUUGUUUAAAAUAAAGAAAGGGAUAAUUAUUGUGUUGAAAACAUUUUUAAAAAAUGCAUAACAAAAACAAAGCAUAGCAAAAUUGUUGGGACAUCAACUUUGGCCAUGCAUCACACCAAACAGAUUUGUCCAAUCCAAUACUUGGAUGUAUACGUGAAUUUCGAAAUACUUACAUUCCUAAUAUAAUCGUCUCUUCUAUGAAUGAACCCCUAGAUUUCAAGCAUAUUAUUAAAUUAUAUGGGUAAAAUAACUGUGUGAACAAAUUUAUUAACUUGUUUAACAUUUAAAAGAACAUAAGAAACAACCUACUAUUUUGGUGUAUCAUAAUAUUUUAAACUAAGCUAAAUUGAAUCAAAUCAACAAAUUUAUUUAAACCUAACUAAAUAAAAUAAAUUUUCAUAUCAAAAUUAAGGGUUCAUUUUAUCAAAACAACAACUAAUGAAAAUUGUACCUCUAACCACUGGAGAUUGAGGUACUAAUUUAAUGACGUUCUUAACAAAUAUUAAAACAAUCGGUAUUGAAGAUCGAACACAUACAUGGAAGAAAUCAGGAAAAAAAAACAUUAACAUGAAUAUCCAUCACAGCCAUGUUGUUUUUUUUUUUUUAAGUUAUUGAAUAUAGUCUUAAUAUUUUUUUAAAAUUAGAUACAUAUAACUCUUAUAAAAUAUAUUAUUAUUUAUUUACAAAAAAAAAAAAACAAUCGCCUAGGGUUUUUUUGGUAUAACAAUCUAAGAAAUGAAAUGUAGAAUGUAACGUGACAUUGAUCAGUUUUACAAAUUUUAUUUUAAUUUGAUUCAGCCAUCAACUUUUAUAUAUUUAAAUUAUCACAUAAGCACUGUUUUACUAGUCAAAUCAAUUAAAUUAAAUUCAUACAAUAUUCAAUAAAAUUUAGUUGCUUCACAUUAAACGCGCGUUUCACAUAGAGUCGACGGAGAAAGAUCGAGAGUCAGACCUAGAGACAUCGAGAAGCAGGGAGUGAAGGGAAGGACAACCGCUACCGGAGACUAACGACGGGCGACUUCAAUCCAUAAGCCCUAGUAGAAGAGGGGGAGAUCGCCGACGAGGGAAGAGCGCACAAGUCUCUGUGGCUGAUUUGAUUAAUCCACUGCCCUAAAAUUUCCCGAUUCUCUUUCCACUUGCCGAUAAUUUCAGGCUCCGGCGAAAGAGAAGGACGCCGAUGGGCUUUAUCAGAAGUAGCUUCUCAUUUAUAGCGGGAUCUGUGUUCGGGAUUUACGUGGCUCAAAAUUACAACGUCCCCAAUAUCAGGAAGCUCGCAAAUACUGGGCUUGCAAUGGCCAAGCACAUCGAAGAGAAUUACAGGAAGCCAAAGAAGAGGGAUGAUGAUGAAUGAUUGGAUGAUUUACAAUCCAGGUUCCCCCUUUUGACAUACUAUUGAAGUAGUGCUUGUUACUUCUGGAUCUUUAGGCAUUGAAUACACGUUGAAAAUUUAUGGUUUUAUAUACAGGAGACUGAUUUUUUUUCUCUUAAGCAAUGUAACGAGUUUCAAUCACAUAAUUGGAGUUUGGAAUUUCUUCUCAGAUGAAUGCAUCAUUUUUGGUCUUGGAUGCUAUUGUGGUAAAUAAAUUAUAAGUAAUGCAACAUUUUCUAAAGCCGUAGGUAUGCAUUUGAUUCCUUGUAAAUAUUUGCUACCGUUUGGUGCAUUUUGGCCGGAAUACUCUUUAAUGUUGUAUUGGGGAAGACCUUUGUGGGAUAUAUUUGUGCAUUUUUUUCCCGAUUUUCUAUCCCUGGAACUUGUAGAAUAUUUCGAUGACUGCAGUUAUAUAGUGUGUGUCUGUGUAAGAAGCAAACUUCAUUGAUAUAUGGAGUUUAUAAAAGAAGGGCAAGUAGCCCAAGCCAAAGGAGUUAUAGGAGACUUGUAUUGGUGUAUCAAGUAAGGGGAUUGUGAUACAAGUGCAUGUUUUUAACUUUGUACCAUGAAACUUGAAAGAGAGAGAGGUGGAUGGAACCUUUUAAUGUAGAUUGGAUUUGGAUUAAAUGAUCUCAAGUUGGCAUCCAACUUACAUUUGGAAGAUCAUUUGCAUUCAAUCGUUCCUGAACUAGAAGCUAUACUAAAAGUUCUCUAGUUCCCGGUAGUUUCUAAUUCGUUUUGGCUGUGAUCAAUUAUAUAUUUGGAAUAUUAUCUUUGUAACUCUGGUAGGAUAUGUACGUUAAAGGUCCAUUUGAAAAGAGAGAUUCGACAUCCUUCAAACAAAGUUGGUUUAGCAGAUAAAAGCUUGUGAAUGGAGAAUUGUCUUGAUUUGUCUGUAUGAGUUUUACCAAGGUGUGCUGUCACAUACUUGUUUGCAAUACACAACUACUUACUUACGCUCCAUGAUGCAAGAAACAAACAAUUCGUCUUCAAAAUUUGAUAGGGCACUUGUGUUGGUAACUAAAACGUCUAGAAGAGCAAACCAGGAUCUAUCAGAAAGGGGGUCUAAGAGAAUAAAGAGAAGAGAGCUAAGUAGUCUCAUUACUUGAUGUGAACUUUUUUGCUUCACGAAUUUUGCUUUAUGUCAUUAUUGGAGACAAGAUUUGGAUGGAGUCCUUUCAUAAACUCUUUAUUGUCCAGCUCAGCCUCUGUUAAGGAGAUGCCGACUAAGUAUUGUAUUGUUUUUUUAGAAUUAGGACUAAGUAUUAUGUUGUUGCUAUCAGGACAACACAUGAAUACGUGUGCUUUGGGAUACAUUGUCUGAGAAGGUUGCUAUCAAGCACUUCAUGAACUGUGAUAUUAGUUUGAAACCCAAGAACUCAGUUAUUAAAGAUCACGUUAUAUGGUCUCAGUUUGCUGUGUGCUCUUUUUCAUCAUGAUUUGUACGCUAAUUGAAUGGUGAAUAUUACUUACUUCAUCCCAGCUUGAAUUUAUGCAGUUGUGAACUUGUGAUCUAUGUCCAACUGGAGGUUUUCGAUACUGGGAAAUUGGUAACUUCAACCAUGGUUAGAUCUUCUACCAUUUUCCAUGCUUUAAUGGUUCUGUUAUGCUGUUGGUUUCAUAAUCCAAAAAUAGAUAUUGUACCAAUGUAAAGCUAGGGUACUUGAGAAAGUAAGAGAGUGAUGUCCAACUUUGCUAAGUAGUUUAAUUUCUAGAUCUGAUUUUAGUUGACAAGGUUCUUAUGCUUAUUGGCUUAUUCUAGUAAUGUUAAAAUGUGCAAUGUUGAUGAUCAAACCUUGUGUUUAGUUAGUAUUUGAUAACCAUUUUACAUCAGAUAUAUCUCAUGUUGGAAGUAUUUAGGACUUCAUAUGUUGUAUUGGACCUUACUGCUAGACGCUCCCAAUUCUUAAGGUACUUACAAAAGUUUGCCGAAAAAGAAGUGAUUCCAAAAUUUGCUUUUAAAAGACACAUUCGACAAAUUUUAAAAUAGUACGAGAAUGAUCCAAUGGCAUUGUCCUGUUCCAUUCUCCAUUGGCUCUCUCACCCAUAAAGUAUAUUCAUUUUAAACUUUAAUCAUGACUAUCACUAUUGUCUAUCCCCAAUGCCUCUCUUUCUCAUGACUACCACCAUUAGUGAUGCUCAACUCUCUUCCUCUGUGCAACAAUCAUUUUCUUACUUUUAAUAUAUAAUAUAGGGUAAUAUGCACUAGUCUAUAUGGUGUAAUUAAAUGGCAGUCUUUUCAUGUCUUCGUAUUUAUUCCAUCUUUUUGUUUUAUUUUUACUGUUUUGUCUUUUUUCUCCCUGCGCUGACAUUUGAAAUAGAAAUAGAUUUGUGGUUUGUGAACUAUCCUUAACGGGCAAGGAACAUAGUAGUGUAAUCGAAGAAGUUGUGAAUUUUUUGACUUAUAUCGAUAAGUUAAUAGAGGAUACAAUUGAUGUCAUUCGUCGUGGAUCUUUAAACUCAAACAAAUUUAUCUCUGCUACUUAGUCUUAAGAUCAUCUAUGUGCUAGAGAUCAGAAGUAUGUAUUGUAAAAUGGGUAUUUCUUUGUAUUGAAUCGCUAAAGUCUUUCAUUCGGACGCUUUACGUUUUCUUAUAUGUGACUAAUUGUAUAUGGACAAAAUCUAACAUGGUUGGAAUUUCUUUUAACUUACAAUUAGGGAUUUAAACUGACGUAUGUAUGGAUUUUAUUGUUAUUAUUUUAAGUUUAAAGCUUUCCGUUCCAAUCCACGGCUCCUUUUUGAGAAAUAGAAGAGGGGGAAACACCCUUGAAAGACGUUAGAGUUAUUUCUCGUGUUCUCCAUUUGAGAGAGAUACAAUAUAAUAUUCUAGAUUAAAUUUACGUAUAAUACAAUAUUAAUCAAAUAAUAACAAACGAUUAAAUACAAUACAAUAUAAUAUUCUAGAUUAAAUUUACGCAAAUAAUAACAAACGAUUAAAUUGAAAUGUCAAGUUACUUCUUGCCUAAAUGGAGCAUUUCGGGUAUUUCUAGUCCAUAAUAUUCAAAAGUUAAAAGCCUUUAAUUAUCGAAAACCGAUAAUAAAACAUUAUAUAUAUAAGUUAUAAGUCCAAGAUUUGAAUUUCCAAUUUGAAUUAUUAAUCAAACCCAUAGGCCAUAAUCAUAAAUUAGUUUUAAGAGAAGAGAGAGAUCAAGUAUUAGAAGCAUGCGUUGAAUUUUUUGUAGGUAUCCAAAGCUAAGUCUAAACCUCACAGGAAAAGUUUGCAUGCGAGAGCUCCUUUAGCCAUUCAAAUGUCCGAUGACGAGACAAUUCCAACUUUUCCUCUUCCUCUUUUUCUUUUCCCACCUUCUUCAUUCUCAUUUCCCUCUUCGCCGUCGCCUGCGCCGGAAUAUUCUUACUGUUCCCCUUCCUCCUCACCCCCACCAUCGCCUUCGGCGCCGGCGCCACCGUCGACUCCACCGAACACUUACACCCGACCCCACCUAGAAUUCCCCUGCUUUUCCUCUCUAUCAAUACACUCUCUCGAGGUUUUCUCAUCAUCACCUUUACGCUUCUCUCGUUGCUUAAGGGGGCCGGAACAAAGGCCUUCUCGCUGUUGCUUCGGCUGACGGAGGAGUUCCUCCUCGUGCUGCUUCGGUGUUUGAGAUCCUCUAGUUCCAUUCCCGGUGUUUUCACUACUCCCAGCCGGAAAAAAUCCCACCCGAAGGAGGAUUUUUGGCGGUUUCCGCCUGUGCUCGCCUGUCGGAAUGUCAUCGGUGAGGCUUUGAUUUGGGGUUUAGGACUCGGGUGGGAGUGGAAUAAAUUUGGAACCCUGAGCUGCGGGUUUCUAGCUGCAGAGGUAAUUGUUAAGGAAUUGUUUGUUACGCUCGAGGAAGAACACUGACUUCGACUGCUACUGCUUCCGCUGCUAUUGAUGCUUCUCAAGUGCCGGCGGUAGACUCCGGCGGAGGUAUUGUCGGAGCUAACAGAGAGCCGAACCGGCAAAAGUUGGCCCUGGUAGAAGACCUCGUCGGCCAAACACAUUUCUGGCGGUGGCUGAUCGGCGAGAUUACUGAAACCUCCUAAAGAACCGAAAUCAAAUUCAUCAUCAGCGGCGGCUAUGGAUGUCUCGCCGGCUCUGGGUUUAAUUUCUAGGAGGAAAUGGGGGUUGCCAUCUUUGACUAGAUUGAUGGGAAGAUCGCAUAAGGAUAAAGAUUCAUCAUUUUCAUCGGGCUCCUCCAUGUAAAGUUUAUCUUCACCACAUCUUUCACUGUCAUAGCUUCUCCCCAUUUUCAUGGUUUAUCCAAAUAGUUAAUUCUCUUCUCCAGAACCUGUGGAGAAGGGAAAAAGAACACACUGAAUUAAUAACAGAAGAAACCAAAAACAGAGUGAGAGAGAAGGAAUGUGAAUGUGAAUGUGAAGGCAAAGGGAGACAGAGUAUAUAAAGGAGUAGUAUUUGGAAGCACCCAAAAGCAAAAGGAAUUGAUAAUUAGAUGGUGGGAAUUGAUUGGUUUCUAUAUGUAUAUGAUUUAAUGAUUAUACUUCUUAAUUCUUAUUAUAUUGUUUAAACUAGGAAAAUCUUGAUUUCCAUUAUAAUAAUUUGUGUUUAGAGUGUAUAUAUAACAAUCACAAAGAGCGAUUAGAAAUAGUAAAUACCGAAAUAAAAAAGAAAUGUCAAGUAGUAUUAUCAUAGUUUAUUAUAAGUUAUAAUAGUUGGAAAUCAAAUAUCUAAACAUAAAUGGAUCUUUUGAAGGCUCAUAAUUCAAUAAGCUAGUAAUUUAAUGUAAUUCAAGGUCUAUGGACUCGAUCCGUAACAUUAAAUUCAUUUCGUUCUUACACUUUUAAAUUCAAUAUUUUUUCUCAUUGUUUUAACGUUUCAUGAUACUAUUUUUGUUCUGUUUAUUCGGCUUAACACGUAUUUCAACAUCAUCCAUAUUCUAAUAAUUCUCAUUACAUUUUAGCCUUCCAAAUAACGUAUAAGUGGACUAUAAUCCAACCUACUUCACCCAGUUAAAAGUUGGAGCCAAGUGAGCCAUAAGAAUGUUAAUAUGGAACAUCAGGAUAAUUCAAACAAUAAGAUAUUAAAAAAAACAGACAGAAUGAAACUUUUUAAAAGGGCUCAAAAGAAGUGCAAAAUGGACCCCAACAUGGGGUCAUUUGAAUGUUAGAAAAGAGGGGGAAAUCCAGUCCAAAGAAGUAGAGAGGCAAAUGAGCAUUACCAAAUUGAGGGAAUGUUAACUAAUUGAUUGUUUUCCUAUAGCAUUUCUAAGAAGUGGAGUUGGGGGGGAAGAAUGAAGAAAUUUCUGCCAAAAGUGAUUUUGGAAGCUAAAAGAGAGAAAUGGGAGACAGUGAAAACCAGCCUUGGGAGUUAAGUGGAGCAUUCUCAAAAGGAAUGAAAGAAGAAAAAAAAUCAGACAAAAGAGAAAGCACUUUGAUCUUUAAAUUUUGUAUUUAAACUCAAUCUCUCAACCAGGAAAAGAGAUCUUUAUGUUAGUUUUAUUUGGGUAAUAGCUUUCUUUGGGCUGUCUUCCUCUUCCAUAUGGUAACUGUAAAGACCAAAUUGGUUUCCAAGGCAUUUUUUUUAAUUAUCCAUUUCUGCUUUUGUUCUUUUUUAACCUAAUCCAUAAAGUUAGUGAGGCAGAAAGAAGGAUGUGUGUCCUAAAAGUAAAAGAUGAGACCAAGUGGAGUUAGAAAGGACAUGCUCUAAAGUAAAGAACUGGAGACUAUCUCAUUUUUUUAGCUCAUUUGGAUCAUUUAUUCAACUUUUUCUUUUUAAUGUUUAGAUAUCAUGCUGGUUUAAUGAAGGAAAAGUAAACCAAAAGGCAGUCUUUUUAAUUAGUUUUCAACAACUAUACUUUAUUUUCUAAGUUUUUAUGACUCCUUUAAAAAAUUCUGGUUCAAAGUAGAUCGUUUAAUUAAAUCCAACGAAAUUUUGAAAACAAAAGAAAAUAUAUUUUAAAAGAGAUUAAAAACUUAUUUUAGUUUAAAAGUCUAAAAAUCUUAACAGAAAAAUAGGAAAAUUAUCCUUUUUUAAAAAGUCUACAAAAUUUACAUUUAGAUAUAUAGUCCUUUUAGAAAAUUCCUGCAACACAACAAUAUUUAGAAAAUGAAAAAAAGCAUAAAAGCCUACCAUGUAAAAAAUUGAUAUUGGUAGAUGAUCGUUUGGUAGAUCAUAAUUUGGAUGAUCGAUUGGUAAAAUGAUCUUCAACAUAAUAUUACGAUAUUGAUAGAUAAUACUACGAUAUUAAAAUGAUCUUCAACGUAAUAUUAUACAAAGGUAGCAUAAUAUUAUACAAACGCUGGUAACAUAAUAUUAUACAAACGUUGGUAUGAUCAUGUAUUGGUAAAAUGAUGUUCAACAUAGUAUUAUACAAACAUUGGUACAAGGAUUUGUAUAAUUUGGUACCUUAUACCAAAAUCAUUUAGAGGUGAUCUUAUCCGAAUAGGAUGUUCUGAUUAAUUUUUAAAAAUCAAGCGCACGCAUCUUGAAAGAAAAGUUUUAUUUUGUUGUGCACCUUCAUUAAUCUUAAUCUUUCUUUUCAAAAAGUAAUCUUAAAAAUUUGUCCCUCUAAUUUUUUUAAAAACUCAGUGUUGUUGUCCACCUUUCCACUAACUUCUAAGAAAUCGACUACAGAUGCAAAUAACUACAAACAAAACCAUCUUUGAAUAGGAAUUGCUCUCAAUUAUAAUUACUCGUCAUACAUUGAUUUAUAUAAUAGAUACUACCAACAAUUUUAAUUGUUUUGUUCCUUUUUUUAGAUGAAUAACUCGAACUUUAGAUCACCUAUAUGUGCUAAAAAGAACUAUCAAAACAAUAUUUUUCUUUUAGAAAAUUGCAUUAAAUAUCAACUUUUAAUUUUUUUAGAAAAAAAAAAUAGAAACUACUUUUUAGAAAAAUAAUUUAAGUGUUUGUCUAACAUUUCACAAUCUUACAAAAAUACUCGCUUUGAUUACCAUCUUCUACGAAAAAUAUUUGGUUACACGUCCUGUUCUUUUCGUCACGUAUGUUAUGUUAAACUCUUCCUUCUUCUUCUUUUUCUUUUUAACGUCUUUUAAAACAUAUUCUUGAUAUUUUAGUGUGGAUCAAAUUAAAAGGAUAUAAUGCACACCGACAUAUUGCUCUUCAUUAUUUAGUAAGUGUCAUCAAUUUUUUAAUAAUACCAUUCCGAUUAUUCCAACUGUUUUCAUUCAUUACCUUACCCAUUGUAAGGUUACACAUUAACAAGACUCAGCCUACAGCAAAACAAAUAUUCCUUAAUAAAACAGAACGGCCAAAGAAAGCGCCAGCGAAUGUCUUCUCAGGGUACUCCUUGGCGGUUAAUCACCGACGUGUCGCGGCGGCGUCGCCGGAGAGAGUGGGGGCGUCGGUUGGGCCACCGCCUCCGCCACGGCCGGGCUUGGGCUGAAGAUGGCCUUGUGUUCCGUAGGCUUGAUUUUUGUAAUCUUCCAAGUCUUCAUAAUUCACGUACGGACUGCUCUCCAACGGAAUUUCCUCUGAUCUCUCCUUUUCCCUUUCGCUUUUCCUGAUCUCCUUGUUUUGUCCCUGCGACUGAUCGGCCUCCCGCUUCUCCAUUUUUCUUCUCGAUCACAAAGUUCAUUUUUUUCCACUAAUUGGGGUUCUGUCUUAUAUUUGAUUUCUUAAGCUCUUGCUUUUAGACACGUAUAAGCUCCACCUGUAUUUUCUUGGUGGUUUUCCUUGAAACGUGUCAUGCAGGAGCUUGCGUGGGCGGUGGACCACUUCAAUCUAGAUCUCAAUUUUUUUUACAAUAACUUAGAACGGUAGUUUUCACUUUUCACUGCGAGUUAAAAUUGUAUUGUUACUCAUUGUAGAAAAGUUAUUAGAUCAAAUAACAAGGUACUGAACAUCUAUUAGGGAUUGGUUUUUUCUUUACCUACUACUUUCUGAAAUUAUGCCAAACACCUUGCCUAAAUAUUACACAAAUGUGUAUAUAUUUAUUUGUCUCGUUGGUUUUCUACUAACGUAAACUAGGUGAUUUAUUUAUGUGUUGGAUGUGGUAUAUUUUCAGUUCUUAAUGAUGUUUAUCCUAGUUUAGUUUUUAAAAUUUCUAUUUUGUUUUUUAAACUUUCAAGUGUAUGAACUUAAAAAUAAAAUAUGUUUUUGGUAUAUGUUGUCAGUAUUCGGUUAACUUUCUUAAAGUACAGUGUUUUAAUUUUUAGUUAGAGAACAUAUGAUAAUUUUAUAUUUAUAGGAGACCUCAAAAACUUACUAUGUCUUCAAGAUUUUGAUCGUUGCAAUUUUGGUGUAUUGACAUUUUAAUUCAUUUUCUCAGUCUAGAUGCAGUUAUAUCCACGUGUGUGAUAAAUGUAUUAGUUAUGUUUCUUCGUUGGUAUAAAAAAUUUAUAAAUUAAAUUAGUAAAAUUUGUUAGUUAUUUAUCUAUUUAACUAAUACUAUAAAUCUAUAUCAUAAUCAUUCAAAUAAAAUAAAUUCAACACUAAAGCAUACAAUUUAAAAAACUUACAUAUCAAAAUAUAACAAAAAUACACAGCUUAAAAGCAAAGGUAGGCUUUAAACCUAUUAAAAAAUGAUGAGUUGCAUUGCAACACUAACCGUUGCUCUCCUCUUCUUUACCAUGUAAACAAUUUUUAAAAAAAUACCACAUGGUAGAUUCUGAUUGGAUGAGUCGUGCAUAAAAGAUGGGUGUAGGAGUUUUUUCCUUUUAGUUUUACAUAUUUGCUUGAAAAUUAUAUAAAAAAAACGAUAACCAAUAUAUUUGAUUGUACAACCAACCAACUGCACCUAAGUUUUCUCCAUUAAUUUUACAUUCUGGCUUGAACAAUUAUUGAAUAAGAAAAAGUACUUGAGUGACUUACGUCUACGUAGUUUAUUCAAAUGUAUUAUAAAUUAUUAUGCAGUAAACUUAGGUGUUUUAAGAGGUAUUUCUUUUACUCAGUGAUUAAAGGGAAUACAUUGAAACAAAUUUAACCCACUCACAUAUUUUUCAUUAAAAACUAUCAAACCAAAUAACUACUAAAUACUAAUUUGACAAAUUGAGUAAUUUCUAUACUUCACAUCCUUAUAGGCCGGAACUAAAACAAGAAAAGUGCCAUUGUCAAACUUGAGUUCAUAACAUAGAAAGAAGUUGAAUGUUAUAGCCCAUGGGCCAACUAAUAUAUCGGCCAUUUGUUGGAAAUUGGUAUGAUAGCAGACUUUAAAAGUUUGAUUUUGGAAAAUGUUAAAAAUAAAUAAAUAAUAUUAAGAAUUAUGGCAAAUUACACUUACUCAAGUGUAGACAGUAGAUUCAUCCCAUAAUAAAAUGUAGAAGCCAGAUUUUUUUUUUCCAAAAAUACUCUCAAAACAUAAUCUUUCACUCAUAUUUUGCUACACUACAUAUUUUGUUUAUAUGAAAAAAAAUAUUUUCUAUACCUAAAUUUAUACAUCUUUUGCUUUCAAGAUCUCUCCCUUUACCGCACAAGUUUCUUUCUAAAAAUUUCUCUCUCUUCUUCACAAGUUUUUCUCUACACUCCUACCUCUCUGUUUUUGGUUUUUCUUCAAUUCACUAUAGCUUUUUCUUGUUUCUUUGGUAAUUUUAUUUCUCUAAUUGAUUUUUUAAUGGACACUCUUGUAGAGCAUUUCCAAGAUCUUGCAAUAUACUUGCCUAUAUUUUCUAUCAGUUUCUAUGGUUUUUUUUUUGGAGGGGAUGGGGGAUUAUUGGAAAUAAUACAUUGUCAGUGGAAAUUUAAAAGCUACUUUUGAUUUCGAUUUUCUUUUUCUUUUUCUUUUUCUUUUUCUUUUUCUUUGUUUGGAGUACUACCUUUGAAAAUGUUGCACUAUUAUUGUUAUUAUUAUCAGCGUUAGCAUGUAUACUUUCCAGCAUAAUAUCCAUUGGAGUGGAAGGGGAGAGAAGCAAAGGGAAAAUAAUUAUGAUUUUGGCGUGACCCCCAUGUGACUCUGUGACAACAUACAGACCCGAUCAAAUUUUUUGUUUAAAAAAAACAAGAAAAAAACUGAGGCACACAACUUCAUUAAUUUAUAAAAGUUAAUAUGUUGUAGAUUUCUUUGAAGACACGUCUCACAAACAAGUUCACAUAAAUAAAUAUCUUCCGUUAGAUAGUACAGAUCAAAUUGAUUGACCGUACCUGUGCACAACUACAUGAAUGUCGCAGUUAAAAGAUUAAAAAAGGUAAUUAUAAAGUAACACCAGGUAAGAUUAGAGAUUAGGAUUAUUCUUCUAAUCUAUUCAUUUUAAAUUCCAAGUACAAUGCAGAAAAUUCGAAUUACAAAAAUUAAAAUAGAAACAGAACGUCAUAGUGUUCCAUGGCAAUUGACAAAGACAAGCAAAUUACGAAUACUGUACACACAAAAAUCGAACCAAAGCAAAGGCAAUUCCCCAUAUUAUUAUCAGUUUUUUCAUUUUCCAUUUCCUUUCCUUUUUCGUAGAGUAGAACAAAAUGUUAAAAAAAAAAAAACACUAAAAUCCAGCUCUAUUUCUCGCUGGAAAUUCCACAAAUAUUACAUUAACUUUCAAUUUUAAGGUCAGAUCGAUGGUACACCCAUCUUCUGGGCCCAUUAGCCAUGAAAAUUCAACAAGACCCAUCUUCUUCAUUGUCCUCUUUCUACGUCCAGCUAAACGCAAUCGGACUUCCCACCACGUGUUUCCCGUCCGACCACUCAAUUCGACCAAACGCUUCUGCACUCGUUGGCGCCGCCGAACUGGUCGUGGUGGUGAAUGUGACUGUGUAAGACUUCUUAUCAUUGGCUCCGGUGAAGCUCAAUGAUUCCGGCUCCACGGAGAUUUUCACUGAUUUGGUCUCCGACGUGAUUGAGACUUUGUAGGUUCCUGGAGAGCCGACGUUUGUGAGUGUUCUAGUGUGCUUUACUACACUGGAACCACUGCCUCCGCCGCCUAAUACGCCUUCAAAGACGACGGCGAAAGAAGGGUAGUUGAGAUCGUUGACACUGUACUUCUUCUUGGAGUCGCAAGUGAAAUCUUUCCUUGCCAGUGAGUUGAUCUGCGAUGGAGUGUAGUUGAGUGCGCAGAGGAAGUUCAGGUAAUCGUCCACCGUUAGAUCGUAAACAAGACCUGGAUUGAGGGCUGAUACGGGAUCCACGUGUCCGGCUCCGUGAUCGAAUGGGGUGGAUGGUUUUCCGGUGGCGAUAUCUUGGAUCUUUUGGCCAUUUUUGUAGGCUGUGUAGGCUGUUGUCAUCAACGCCGAUCGAAUCGCCGCCGGACUCCAAUCGGGAUGAGCACCCUUGAUCAGAGCAGCGAGACCGCUCACAUGGGGGCAGGACAUGGAGGUUCCGGAGAUAAUGUUGAAAUCCACUCGUCUGUCAUCAAUGGCUAAACCACUUGGUCCCACUGAUUUUGACCAUCCAGCUAAGAUGUUGACGCCAGGGGCUAUUAUGUCGGGCUUCAGCAACUGAGGAGUGAUCGAAUUUGGUCCACGGGAACUAAACGCCGCCACAACCGGUGAUGGUUCGAUCCCUAAUUUAGUUCCUUCGAAUAAGAUCGUCACCGUCGGACUCGGGUCCGAAACGAGAUACUUUCGUAUAGUGUCGCCAGAUUUCUGACCCACCGCCGUGGCCGGCAGAAGAUGAGAGUCGGCCACCAACUCUUCUCCAUUUGCUGCGGUAUUGGCCAGCACCAUUCCGAUUCCACCAGCGGCUUUGACGACUGCACCUUUCUGAACCCUAGGGUUUACACCUCGGUCACAGAAAACGACCUUUCCGGCGACCUUUUCAGGGAUCAAAGUACCAGUCAUACACAAAUUUCCAUUACCGGAGUUACUCGCAUUAGCAGCGUAAAUAAAAGGCAACAAUGUUCCCGGCAAUGACUUGCCUCGAUAGAGGGAAACGCCGGAGAAGUUCUUGGCGUCUCCAAGACUGACAUACGCCGGAAAAUCACGAUCUAAUGUUCCAGCGCCGACUGUUGUAAUCCAUGGAGACGUAUUUGACAAACUGAAAGGACUGGGGCCGGCAUUUCCAGCAGAGCAAGAAACGAGGAUGCCUUUCUCCAUGGCAGCAAAGGCUCCGGUGGCCACACUGUCUUUGUAAUAAUCGGAUACUCCACCCCCAAGCGACAUGGAAAGCACGUUAACAUUGUCGUCCACAGCCUUGUCAAUGGCGGCAACGAUAUCAGAGCUGAAACAUCCGCCAGCCCAGCAAACCUUGUAGGCGGCGACUCUCGCACGCGCGGCCAUUCCACGGGCGGUACCCGAGGCAUACCCAAAUAGACUUGCGUUUUCAACUACAGAACCGGCCGCAGUGGAAGCGGUGUGGGUUCCAUGGCCAUCGUCAUCUCUCGGAGAUCUAGAUUCUUUAGAUUCAUCGAUCGGACCCAGAGUUGCCUCAUAGCCCUUAGAGAAAAAUCUAGCUCCAACCAGCUUCCUGUUACAGUUCGACGCACUAAAAUUAGUACCCGAUUCACACUCACCUUUCCAGCUACUCGGAACUGGUCCAAGCCCUGUAUCAUCAAAGCUCUUACUCUCCGGCGAAAUCCCAGUAUCCAAAACUCCAAUGAUAACCUCCGACACGGAGUUGGAUUCAGGGUAAAGAUUCGCAUUCUUGUCAAGCCCAAGAAACUCUGGAGAACGAGUGGUAUGAAGUUCAUAUAUCAUCUCAGGCACCACAGCCAGAAUCCCAGGUUGGGCUUCCAGCCGCUGAGCUUCCUCCGCCGUCAGUCUGGUUGAAAACCCAUGAACCACGUUGUUGUACGCAUAGAUCAUCUCAGCGGAAUCGGACACCGAUCUGAGUGAGGAGUCAUACCAGUGCAAAUGGUGCUCAAAACUCUCGGGCAUUUGGUAUUUAGCCAUAUGCACGAUGUAGGUCUUCUUGUCUCCGACAGCCAUGGACGGCACAGAGAAGAAACAGAGAAGUAAAAACAUCCAAACGGGGUUGGCCAUGAUUUGUGCAAUCAGAAAGAGAGCAUCAAAAUGGAAAAUGAAAGAUGGGAAUGGAGUUGUAUAUAUAAAAAUGGAGAAGGGAAAGUGAAAUAAUAAUGGAGGAAAAAAGGGGGAAAACCAGAGAGAGUGGAAGGUGGUUGUGUUGUUGAGAGAGUGAAUAAUUGUGUGGAGCCAAAACGGAAGAGGAGCUAUCGACAGGUCUGAAGGAACGUGGAAGGGAUAAUGGUAAUGGAAAUGGAGAAGAAGUUACUGCUUUGUUUCAUCACGUGUACAACCACUUUUGCUCUUCUCUCUUCUCGCUUUCCCUCCUACUCUCACCUUUUUAGUUCUCCUACUUAAAUACUUUUCUUUCCUUCCUUACCGUCCAAAACAAAACACUCAAAUUCAAUUCUCAAUUAAUAAAUAAAGGAAAAAAAAAUUAACUUUUUAUCUUAAUUUUAAAAAAUAUGUAAUAAAUACAAGAAAAAGAGAAUUAACCUUUUCAUAUAUGGAGGUUAUAUUCCAAAGGUAAAUUUGGUAAUGCAAUGACAUCGAAAUAUGAUUAUAUUAAAAACUUAUAUAUGGAGAUGGGUUUUAUUUUUGUUCAAUUUAUAAUAUAAAAUUUAUUUCAUUUAGACAUCUUUCAAUUAAGUUUUCUUUUUUAUUGUUUGUACACAAUUAUUAAUAUUUUUAAGGUUUAUCUAAAUUUCAUUCUAACUUUCCAAAUUAAUUUUUUUUCGUUAAAGUACAUUAAAGAUGGUUUUAGUGCAUUGUUUUAUAAUAUAUGUUUUGAUAACUAUUUUAUCCCUAAAAUCUAAACAACAAGUGUAUUUAAUUAUUGAGUUUAGAAAAUGUAUAAUUUUAGUCUUGCAUUUCUAAGAAUAGACAUGAAAUAAUUAUAUGAUAUCUUAAAUUAGAAAAUAUUUUUUUUACCCCAAUUCCUUUUUAAAAUUAUAUUUAUAAUUUUGCAUAAUAUAAUCAUUGGAUUAAAAAUAUUUACGAGAAAAAUUGCAUAUGAUAGCAUUGUGAUAAUAUGAUAUAGCAAUUAUAGCACUUUGUUUUUAGAAUUUUGUAAACAUGGCAAAAUUUUCACUUCUUCAUCUUAAAUUUGAUAUUAUUCUUAAACUACCCUUCAAUAAUUUAUCUAUCUUCUUCUUUUUAAUGUCCUACUCAUUAUUUAUUUAUGCUUCCACUUUUUAUGACCCUAAUUUUUUGUUUAUUUCUAUACUGGACAAAUUAUUUAUUCUUUCUGUCUUAAUCUUAAUUUUAAAAUAUCAAUAGUACAUUAAUUAUAAUAUGAAAUAUAAUAUAAUGGUUGUUGAUCAUAGUAAUUUAACUUUAUUUGUGAUUUUUUUUUACUUUCUUCGAUGUGUAUUUUGAGUUGAAUUUGAUUCCAAAUGGUUUUGUUUUAUUUUUUUACAUUGAUUAUUUUGUUUUACUUUGUCUCGGUGUUGUGAUAUACUUAUAUUAUAUGUAUUAGUUGUUUAAUAUACCUACUAUGUGAUUUUCAUUUUUUUCAACUUUUAUGCACUUCAUUAUAGUAUUAUUAAAUAUAUUAAUGAUGUAACUCAAUGUAUCAUUAUCAAGUAUAUGAAUCAAGUUUACAAGUGUAUAUCAAUAGUAUAUCAAGUGUAUAUGUAGGACUUCAAGCAUAUCAAGUGUAUUUAAUCAAUUAAUUGUAUAAGUGAACAAUACUAAAUGUAUAUGCAGUGUAUCAGGUGUAUCAAACACAUAUUAGUAUGUUUUGGUAUCGAGUGUAUCAAAGAGUAUUAGGUGCAUCAAGUGUAUCAAUUAAAUGUAUCGGGUGUAUUAGGCGUCUCAGACUAUCAAACGUAUAUUAGUAACGAGGGUAUUUGUGACAUUUUACAUCUUGAUGUGUGGGCUUGACCGCAUUUUUGUCAUUUUCGCAAAUAAUAAAAUGUGUGUGUUAUGAACUUAAUUAUUACAACUUAUUUUGUUAUUUUUGCGAGUGCUCCUAUUUACAAAUAUAACCAAAUUUAUUAAAGUCUAUCAAUGAUGAAAAUAUUAAUCUAUCACUAAUAAACCAUAAAAAUCUAUCAACAUAAUUUUAUCACCUAUAGAUUUUGUUAUAUUUGUAAUUUUUUAAAAAUAUUGUUAUAUUUUUAAUUAUUAUUCCUAAAAUUUAUCCAAAUUACAAUUAUCCUUUAAUUAUAGGAAAAUUUUCAAAAACAGCAAAUUUUAUAAAACAUUUACAACCUAUAUAAAACAUUUACAACCUAUAGCAAAUUCUACCACCGAUAUUCAUUGAUAUGCUAUAAUGAUAGAAGACUAUCAUUGAUAGAAUCCAAAAUUUUGCUAUAACUUGUAAAUAUUUUAAUUUAUUUGACUAUUUUUAAAAACAUCCCUUAAUUAUAUUGGGUAACUAUUUAAAUUAUUUAUAAAAAAUUAAUAUUUCAAUUAAUUUUAAGACUAAAAAGUUACAUUUAGAUUUAUCUAAUUUGUGAACCACGAGUGCUCAACUAGUUUCCUCAAAAUAGAACUUGUCUACAUGCUACAUCCAACCCUGCCAUGUUUGAUCUCAUGUAACAAAAAAAUGGGAAAAUCCUGAAGUAUCCUGUUGUAAUUAUAACAUUUGUUCAUGCUAUUGUUUUAACGUUUAUAGAAAAUUAUUUAAUAAUAUUAAGCCCCACAUGAUUAUUAAGAGAAAAAAAAAAGGGUGUAACAAUAGACCAGUAGGACUAUUUAUUCCAUAGUGUAGAAGCAUUAAGUGUGUUUUAUUCAUCUCACACGAACUUGAUUCAAGGGCAAUUGGCAAGGAGAUCCAAACAUAUAUGCUCCAAUAUUUUGUUAUACUAUACCAUAUAUAACAUGUUAUAAUUUUUUUUUCUUGAUUAUUCAUGUUGUAGUUUGACAUACAAUUGAACUCAUGUGCCUGCUUUCAUACAAUCACCAUUUUCAGACAACAUGCUGUUAUUAUCACUAAUACUCUUUAGUACUAGAAAAGUUAUUAGUAUAAGGUGGAUCCUUUAUAAUCAAUACACAUAAUUAAUCAUGUUUAAAUGUUGUUCAGCCGGACCUUUAACUUCUUAUUAGGAUUUAAAAUGAGGUUGAUGCAGUGUGAAUAUGACGAAGGAACUGAAGGAGCACUCGUGCUGUCAUGAUAACGUGACUUUUAAUUCUCUUUUUUUCCUUUGGUUUUAUUUGUUAAGUAAAUGCAUUAGUCGGUUUAGUUAGAACUUAGCUGGGUGUGUGCUAUGUACAGUGUCUCUAUUAAAAGAGGUUUUGAUGAGUUCGUAUGCAUGUCAUACUAUUUUAUGAUCUAUUUUGUCUGUUUCUUUGAUUCAUCCACUUUUCACUUAGCAACAAAUUGUUAAAAGUUGUCCCAUAAAAUAUAUAUGCAUAUAUACACACAUCAUAAUGGAAUACUAAUUACAUGGAUGAAGUCACGUAUAUAUCCAAUAUACAAUUAAGAUUUUAAAGCAAAAACAGGAACAUAUGUUGUAUAAUCUGUAAUGGUUUUUUUUUUUUAAAUAAAAAUAAAGACGAGAGUGUAUAUUAAGUAAAAAUUCAAACUAAUUUUGUUAUUAUUUUUAAAAUUAAUCUAUUACCGGAGAAUUAAUUUAAAUUACUCACUAGAUUUUCAUUUUAAAAUUAUAAUACACACCUCUCACACAUCUACAAGACUCCCUUACGGUGAACGUAAAUGAAGAAUAAAUACAAUAAGCUAAAACACAUGGUAGUAACUAUUCCUUAAAUUUAAUCCAAUCAGUCAUCUUUUAGAAAACUGGGUUUUUUGUACAUGAUUUUGGGAUGAUUUAAAUAAAAUCCAAGUAAAAAUAGUUAUAAAAGGUAUCACGUUUAAAGUUAGUUCAAUUUUAAUUUUCAUAUUUUCAUUGGUUUAGAUUCACUAAAUAUUAAAUGUAUGGGUAUUUUUGCUUUCCCCCUUCAAACAUAUUGACAGAUUAUGUCUGAUUUCUAUAAAUUAUUAUUAUUAUUUAAUUCAUCCAUAAAAAAUAAAUUUAAAGAUUAGUUCUAAAAAUAUAGAGUCGGAAAGGAUAAGAUAAAAAAAUUAGAAAUACAUUUAACAAAAAGAAACUAAAUUAAUAAAAGAAAGGAAGGAAGAGUAAAUAAAGCGUGGCUGGUUCACGGGUAUGUGUCAGCGGUGUCUAGUAGCGAAGGGAUAGUGUUUCCAUUUGGUUGGUGAGGCUUUGAGCAAACACGGAAACCUAUUCCAUAUUUUCUACUUCCAAAUAAGAGGCCAAAUUUCAAUCUCUCUUUUUCCCCUAAAUUGUCUAUUUAUGACUCUAUUAUUAUUUCCCAUAGCAAAUAGCAUACUCACACCACCCCCACCCCCACCCCCACCCCAACUCCACUCCCUCUUUAUCAUUUACGAUACCGGUUUAAAAUGCUGUUCAUUACUGGGACCUCCUUGUCCUCCAUUUUCGGUUCUUUAUUUAUCAUUAUUACCCUUAAUUAUUAUUAUUAUUGUCAUCAUCAAAUCUCAACACACCUAUUAAUAAUAAUAAAACCUAUAUUUCAAUAAUAGAUUAGGGUCAAACACCCAAUUAAUUGCUUCGUCGUACACGCUAUUCCUUCUUAAUAACAUUUCUGUACUUUCCUAUUUCUACACAUCGGAUAAUAUUGUGCAAAUGUCAUUUUACAUUGGAUUUAUUUACUUCACUUUUUAUCUCUUUUCAUGCCACAUUUCUGUCAGAUGCAUUCAUCAGUCUAAUCUUUCAUUCGAUAGUAUAUGUACUGCCCAUGCAAUAAUUUUUUUAAAAAAUAUUUUUACAAUGGGUAGGUAAGGAGACGAUUGAUAAAUGUAUAAAUGAGACAAAUUAAUUAACAAGGUAUAUAUUUAAAAUGAACAGUAUUAAAUUAUUCUGAAGAUACUCAAAGAGUUCAAUGUUCUAACAACAUGUACUAAACUAGGUUUUGAUGUUUAAACUAAUACAUAAAAUAUAUGAUAUAUAGAAUCAAGUAUGGUGGAGUAUAUCUUUUUACGAACCUUGUAGUUUUUUAUUUAACUACACUACUCUUAUUUGAUAAUGUAUUGAUAUCUGUAAGUACUCUAUUGUUAUAAGAAAAUGUCAGAGUUUGUGUGUCAUCCAAAUGAUUCGUUUAAUUUAGAGUAUUAUUAUCUUUCUUAUUGUUCACUCACUACUCAACUCAAUAUCACAUAUCAACAAAUUUAAUAUAGGUUAACGAAUGAGACUUGAUAUAUAUAUAUAUAUAUAAAUAUAUAACUGAAAUAAUUUCAAUCCUAGUAACUAAUCUAGCGGUAGGAGUUGUCUUGUAGCUCAUUUUAGUUUUAGGUUCCAUUCUCAUUUCUUACAUUUUUUUAAAACCAUAAUCUACACCAUAUAUGCGUAUUUUUUAUAAUACAAACUAAAGUAAUCUACAUUUCAAACACAAACUAUUGUAAUUCAACUAUAACAACUCACUCCUCAUCAUAAACAUCAUUCUACUCAUUUUAUUAUAAUCCACAAACAGGUCAAUUUCAACUUCUAGGCUUGAAAGUAAAUAAUUGUAUAAAUCCAAAUUUAGUUGUCUCCUUGUCACACCUAAUAAAUAUGUACACAUACAAACUAUGCACCGUGGGCCACAUAACUCAAGAAUGUUGAAAAUUAAAAGGAUGAGCCAAUGAUCCACUACUAUUAAUGAUGAUUAGAGAUUAUUAAUCAUGUGUCUCGUAUGAAAAGGCAAAAAGCUCAUGCGAGUUUGUCAACUUUUGAAUUAGCCCUAAAAAUCAUUUCACAAAAAAGGGGCAUAACCUGCCAAUUCAUUCAAUUUGAAGGAGUUUUGGUAAAUUUUCUUUCCCUUUUAUAGGGGAAGGUAUGGGAUCUGAUCUUCACACUGAUAUUCUAGACCAAAUUGAAGAUUGAGCUACAUUCUCAACUUAAUUGAGGUUAUUGGAAAUCAUAUUGAUUUGCUUUGUUUGAUUAUCUUAAUUGUUUGAAGUCUAUUGAAGCAUUUCUCUGCUACCUAGGCCGUAUUAAUCUUCAUUAUCCAAUGUUAUCAACCUAUCAUAACUAAUCUCUUACAACAUUUGACAUUGUUUUGCAUUGUCAUUCAAUUACAGUUAAUACUGUUUCAAGAUCUUAAAUCAUUGUAAUAUCAACUGAUUGCUAUCAUUUUUAUUAUUUUACAUUGUUUUUCUAAUUAAAGUGUUUAUUAAUUUUGUAUAAAACUAAAAUAAUUUACCUCUCAAAUACCUAUAAUCAAAACCAAAAUAUUAUACAUCCAAAUGUCAAACUAUCAUAAUCAAUUAUAAUAAAAUGUGUCGAUAAUAACCAACUUUUUGUUCCAAAGGUGUUUUGGACUCAAAUUUAUUAUAUGUUAAAAGCUACUUUUUUUCACAAAAAUGUUUCUUUUCUGGACUAAUAUUUACAUUUCUCAAUCUUUUAACUUGAGCUAAACAUCAUUUUUAGAGAUUUAUUUAUUUAUUGGUAAGUAUUCAAUUUUAAAAUAAAUUAAAACAUUUAACAACCAACUUAAAAAUUUGUUCUUUUGUUCUUUCGAAUCAAUCUUUAGCCCUAAUUUAUUCACCAUUCCAAACGAUGGUACCAAACAAAAUAACACCUACUCCUUUAUACAUAUGUGUAAUUAAAAAAGAAAAAGGUAAAUGAAUACCUAGAAAAUGUAAAUGCUUGAAUUUAUUGGAAAAUAAAAGGUGGGUCCAUGGAUCACGUGCAUCCUUUGAAGGGCGAGAUUGGAUUUUGUUGCAAACUUCGAAGGGGUUAAACAACGACGUCAUUACUUUGGCCACGGGUUAUUUUUCAAUACUAUAGCAUUAGGUAAAUAUCUUGUUUACAUCCCUACCCAAAAAAUAAAAAAACAAUUAAAAUAAUAUAUAUAUAUAUAUAUAUAUAUAAUAGUAUACGUCUGUCAAAAGUUAAUGUAAGAAAAUAAUUUAAUUUAAUUAGUCUUUUUUCUUUAAUGCAAAUUUAUGAGUUUUUAUUCACGGUGCCUUUUAGGUAGGAAGAUAGUAGCCUUCUGGCUUAAGACUGGAUUAGAUUUUGAUGGAAUAAAAAUUCAAGUCAGUGAUGGAGUUAUAAAUUUGGAUUUCUUUUCUUCCAUCUCCAUCCUUUUCUUAAAUCGAUUUGUUGAAUUCGUUUUCUUUUCCACAAUCAAUUCUGUUCUUCUUCCACUUAAUUUACAAUUUUCUUUCUCGAGAAUCACGGAGACUGAGGACCGAGAAAAUUUGUGACCAUAGAAAAACUUAUUGAGAAGUGUAAUAAACUAUAAGCCAAAGUAAGUGAUGUCACGCCAGGUUGGGUGGCAUUAAACAAAAUGUCGAAAUUCAUUAAUUCCAUUUUUCAUUUUGAACCAUGCAGUGCAAAGGGGCUUCGCUUUGGUACAAAAAUUCCAACAUAAUUGGGUAUGGUUUGGGUGUGUGGUGGAAGAAAUUAAGAAGUUGGUAUCUACUAUCUACACCUACACGUCGCUUUUGAUAAGACGAACUUCAUCAAGAGUUGCGUUUGUGUGUUUCUGAAGUGGAAAUGCAAAACCAAAUUUGGGAUCUGUGUGUUUUGUUUGUGCUUUUGGACCCUUUUCUUUUCUUUUCUCUUUUGGCAUCUUUCUUGUUUUUUUUUUUCUAUGGUUGCCGUAACCGCAUCAAUCUGCUUUCACAUUUUUUCUCACCUUCCAAUCGUUUUUCUAUUAUAUCAUUUAUUUCUAUAUUUUCAUUUAAAAAGAAAACACAUGUUGUUCAAAUAUACUUUCAUACUCUUCAAGAAAAGUUCCAUAGUUUUGUUUUAAUAGUAAUUUAAAAACACUUGCAAUGACUUCUGAAAUAUUUUAUAGUUUUUCAAUGUCAUUAUAUUCUUAAAGCCUUAUAUCUAAUAGAAUUUGAAUGCUUUUCAUACCAAGCCCAUACUUAUCUUUUAUGUUCACUCACAACUUAAUUUACUAACUUUUCUAUAUAGAUUUUGAUUCUUGGCUACGCGUAAAAGAUGUAAGGGGAAGACAAGUGAGGAAGGAGACUAGAAUUUGUUCGUGGAAAGUGAUUUUAUCGUGACUUAAAAUAAAUAUAAAUAUAUAAAGUUAAAUCAUGAGUGAUGAAUUUGAAUACAUAACUAGAGAUUAAUAUUUGAUCUUUAGAAAUGAAAGUUAUUACAUGUAGAUUUUAAAAAUAAAAAUAAAUAAUAAAAGAAAGAAAUUGAAGUGAAAACGAGACUCGUCAACCUUCGAAUCUAUAUCAGUUUAUGUUAUUAUAAACAAAUGUACCUAAUCUCAUACUCCAUUCUUCAUAUUUAACUAAGAAAAGAUAAAAAAUAUAUAAGUUUAAUAUUUAUCAUACAUAAAUCAAAUAUUUAAUAUUUAUAGAUAAUGUAGUAAUUUUAAAUUUAUUAUUGAUUAUGUGAAAAGCAACGGUAUAAAAUUGUAAAAAUAAGAACAAGAAAAAACAAAAAAAAAACGGGAAAGUUAAAAAAAUAAAGUUAAUGGGGUGAAUAAGUGGUUGUGGGAUCGAGAAGUCCCACCGCCUUUGGGCUACUCCCAACCUUCUCUUUCGGCCCACCAACAAUUGUUAUUGUUGUAUUAAAUAGUCAUGGAAAAAUAGGAGUUCUAUCAAUUAUGUUGUUAUCAACGAUGUAAGUCUACCACCUAUCAACUUUACAGAUUGAAUAACUUUGUCUUCAGUGAAAUUUUACAUUUUCUUUGAAUCAAAAGGUUAAAAGAAAGUUGUGAUAUAUUUGCACUUGGAUAAAAAAUAUGACCUUUACACAAGCAAUCUAUCACUUCUAUUACAUAUAAAAAGUGAAGUUUAUCACUAGUUGAUAGAUUUCAAUAUCUUAAAAUUUCAUACCUCAAGCAUUUUUUUUUUUAUAAUUAAUCGGUCUUUUAAAAUAUCUUAUAUGGAUUUUGCUAUAUUAUGUUAUACAUUUUACUUAUUUUGCUAUAUAUAUAUUUAUAUGAAAGGAGUCCUGAUCAAAAUUGACAUGUAAAGAGAGAAAAAAAAUAGUCUACAACCAAGUUUUAUCAUGACACUUGAAACAAAGUAAAUCUUAGUUCAUAUAUUAGCGCAACUCAUGUACUGACAUUUUUUUUUUUUGGCAAAAGUACGUUUUCUUUAAUUUGUAAAAGAUAAACUGUAUUGUUUUAAUUAAAAUAAUGCGACAUAUAUAUGUGUAGUGUGGUGUGAAGAUCUAUAAUAUAAAAUACUGCACUUAUGCAUUAAAAAAUGUAAAUUUGAUUUCGUUGAAAAAAUUGUAUUCUUUCAUUACUAAAUUGAUCUAAAAACUAAAAUGGGUGAAUAAAGACCAUCAAUAUUAUAUCACUCAACACGUCUUUUACUUGGUGUAUAAAUAAGUCUACAAGUUUAAAUCAAUUUUUAUUUAUAAAUAAAUAAUAUUAUAAAAAUAUUUAUAUGAUAUAAUCUUAAAUAAUGAAUAAGCUAACAAGUUUAAAUAAAUGGAUAAAGACAAAUUUAAUAUUACAUCACUCAACAAUUUCGACAAUAAUAACAUUUUCGUAAUUAUUAACAAUAUAAUCAUAAAAAUAGUUUAAACAAAUAUCAAUUUAUACUUCGAACUAUGGAAUUAUAUUCAUUUAAAAUAUAUCGAACUCCAAACUCAAGUAAAUAUAUCAAAUUAAACUCUCACAUUUCUUAAUCUAUUCAGAUAAAAUAUAAAAAACACAAUGGAGAGUUUACAUGGAUACCAUUCGAUUGAUGCAAUUCCAUAAGUUCAAAGUUUAUAUCCGAAUUGAUACAAUUGUGAAUUUUACAGGUUAAAUUGGUGAAAUGAUUAGUUUAUAAUAUAAAUUGAUACACCUCAUAUCAUUUAUGAUUUCUCUAUUUUUUUUAAAAAAAGUUUAUGAAAGUCGAGAAAAGAACCUCGAGGGAGAAGAAAAGCCAAGCGGUUGGGUUUGGUUCAUUUGAAGCGGUUUAGUUUACUUUUCCCUCGUAGGCGAGUGUGCCGAUGCGCGCCACGGCAGUGAUCCCUGAUCACAGCAUGGGCCAUCCAUUGCAAGCACAAGCACAUACAAUUCACGAUGUGAUUGCGACUAUUUUUUAGUGCGUCUCGACACUUGAAUCGGAAUGAAGCUGGAAUUGUUUACUUCGGUCGACGGAAUGUGCCGCCGGCGGGCACUCUCUCUUGUUUCAGUUCUACAAAAUCGAGGUAAGUCAAGCUCUUAUCGCCUAGUAUUAUGUUAUUCGAGCUCUGGAAUUCGGCUGUUCACUUGCGGCAGUGACUCCGACUCAGCUCGAUCUGAGUUUUCUGGAGAGAACGCAUACGAAAUUCUGGAAGUUUCACAGACCAGCUCCAGUGAUGAAAUCAAAGCUUCUUUUCGCAAAUUGGCAAAGGAAACUCACCCGGACCUUGCUGAGUCGAGAAAGGAUUCCUCCGCUUCCUUGCGUUUUGUGCAAAUCCUUGCCGCCUAUGAGGUGCUUAUGUUCAAUACUCUUCUUCUCUAAUUCUGACUUUAUUUCAAUUGAUAAACUGACGUGAUAUCAAUGCUAAUACUAUAAACAUGUAAAGCCAAUUUAAGCAAUUAAAAUCUGGUUCACUUGUUAAUUGAAUGUAAUUUAAUUGUAGAUUUUAUUAUAACCAUCUGUUUAUAUUUCAACCUAAAAUUUAUUUUUCGCAAAGAUUUAGAUGUAGGCGAAACUGGAAUAGAAAAUCAUCUGAGUUCGAAUCGAAAUGGCAUUAAUAAUAGAAGGUAAUAAUUAAGUUAGGAAUUUUGAUGGUAAGGCUAAAUAUUGGAUUUCCAAGAACAAUUUUUCUCCAAAGUCAUGCAUGGGACCUGAACUUCACUGUGGCAUUUCUCGUUCAUAGAGAUUUGUAGUUAGUUCACUAACAUGUGCAACAAUCUUCCUUCUGCUACCUCGGUUAUGUUUGAGGCCUUACGUUUUCAAUACAUGUGCGCAAGACAUGUUAGUAUCUGCAUGUGUUCUAAAGUGUAGUACUGCUUCUAUGGUCCACUACACAAUUAGCAAGUGUAAAAACUGGUUAAUAGUAAUGUUUAGUCUUUUUGUUUGCUUUGUGAUAUACAGGAUAAUCUGACAUUGAAGCAUAAUCCAUGAUGGAUUGCAGAUCCUUUCUGAUUCAGAGAAGAGGGCACACUAUGACAGUUUUCUUAUAGCUCAGAGAAGGUUAAUUAAAAAACGCAGUAGCUAUGGGUCAAUAUCAAACGUAUGUAAACCAAAUCAGACAACCUUCAAACAGAUGGAAGUUGUUGAAUGGUUGAAGUCCUAUAGAAUUUUCAUUAACGGGAUAUUAUCAGAAAGGAAAGUUGUUGCGGGUACAGGCUAUUUUGAUGUUCUUGAGAGGGAUUUCUACUCAGCCAUGCAUAUUGCUUUUUAUGGUCCUACGAUUGAAUCUAUGGAGCUUCUUCCUGAUUGUUUUGAAGCUGAGGAGAGGUCAACUUAUGAAACUUCUGAGAUAUUGCACUUAGUUUCAGGACGUGAUCUUUUUGGGAUGGUCUGUUUUGCUGCGGAGGUGCCUAAGGUGGCUUCUGCCACCAGUGGAAAAUCUAUUUCUUCAACUUCUAGGUGUCUACACAUUACUGAAACCAUUGAAAAUGCUCGCAGCUGCGUGAAAUUGACAAGAGAGGAAGAAUACGAACUUCCUCGGGCCUCAAUGGUUUAUGAAUUAGAUGCAUACAAAGAUUUGGAGUUGCAUAUUUGUGGAAAAGUAAUUGCUUGGGCUUCUAGACUUCCUCCAAAGUUUCACAGGGAGAGCACGGAGGAUAAAAACAAUCAAGACCAAAUACAUGUCUUUCUUAGUUCCAAUGAUGAACUCAUACAUAAUAGUGUUGGAUAUUCUGUAGAUUUCUCUUCUGGGGAUGCUGCUGAAACAAGGAUCCCCCUGGGAACUAUUGUUGGUCUGGGUACAACUGAAGAAGAAGAAUCCUGCUCCGUCUACAAUAAAUGUGGCACAAAAACACAUGUGAUAAUGAAACAUCGAACAUUAAUGGUUUGUAUAGUCUUUAAGCAACCACUAUUAUUUGCUUCACAUCUGUCAACAUUAAUUAUUGUUACUUCAAAUGCUAUAUUUUUCUUUAAUUUGUUCAUUUGUCUACUUGUUUUCUAUUUAUGAUAUGUCUUGCGUCUUAUUGAAGCCAAGGAUCAUCUAGGUGUUUACAUAGUCCCUAUUGCAUGGCCUUGAAGUUACUGAAUUAAUAUUGACAUUUUUUAUUGCUAGCAUUAUUACUAUUUUUGCACCUUUUUAUUGGUCUUUUUUUUUUUAUAUCUUUCAUUAUUAUUAUUUUUCUACAUUUGUUCCUUUGGUAAAGGCUUCCACCAAAUGGCUUUGGUGUUCAAAAACCUCGGAUCACUUUUGUGGAUCUUGAAUACUCAGCAAGUUUACGGACCUACAAAACGUAGAAUGAAAUAGUGGAGAUGAUACACUGGAGAGAUGAAAAAAACAAACAGUUUUAUUCUCUUUUCAUUUUUGUACUUGAAGACAUUCUUGACGUUGAUAAUGAAAAAACCUUCUCAGGUGCAUGAUUGGUAUUUUUCUGUUUGACUUCAAUAUCUUUAUAUUGCCGACUGGGACACUAUGGUAGAGUGCAUUUGUUUACACAUGUGAUUGUGCUUUAGUACAGAUGCAUAUUUUACAAACAGUAAAUAAUUUUCAAUGUUGUGAUGAGAAACCCUUUUACAUAGAAUGAAGAGAGAAUAAGAUAUAAGAGUAUGGUCUUUCUCCAUCCAUUUAAACAACACAAUGCAAUGUCAUAAUGAUGCUAUGGAGAAAAUAGACGUUGCAAAAAGGUAUGUUGCACGACUUGUUCACAAUCAACAUAUUGCUGUCUCAAUGAAAACCGAAUUUGUGCUUGAUUAUCCUCCGUAAAUUAAAUAGUUCGUUUAUGUCUUUGAUAUAUGUAUACUGAUUCCUAAUUUUACAGGUGAAACACAUGCACUGGUAUAGUACAAGAGAAAAUGUUUCUGUCUGUGAGUGUAGAUGCAGUCGAGCACGUUUACCACCAAGCAAGUGAGUUCUGCAUCUUCAGAAUUUUAUUGAUUGAUGUACCCAUGUUUAGUGUUGCUAUAAUGCUAUUAGUUCUUGGCCCUUCUACUGGCAGUUGGCUAAGUAAAAAUUGCUCUCUUUCUUUCUACUAUAAUAACAUUGUAGUUGUCUGAUAGUUUUACAUGGAUGCUUUUGACUGUAAUGCAAGAUUAGAACUCUUUGUAGGAAGCAGGGAGAUCAAGGCUUGUUGUCACUCACCUGGCCAAUUUUAAUUGAGACACUAAACAAUAAAUGCACGAUUGGAAAUAGGAUUUGUGAUUUUUUAAUAAAAAGUAAAUGAUUUAUAUGGGGAACAAGUUGUAGCUGUCAAUUAUCACGAGCAAGAUUAAGUGUAUGUUAAUUAACAACAUGAUGGGACCAUAGUUCUCAAAAGGAUAGAAGUCCUUGUAAAGUAUUACUUAUGGUCUGGACGCCUUGAUUUGGAUUCUUUGUUUUUCCCUUCAGAAAGAAGGAAAUAUAUUUUUUUAACGGGAAGACACCUUGGUUUACUGAAAGGAACCACAUCAUGGAUUCUUUGAUCUCUAUAGUUGGACCACUUAGCAUCUCCAACUCAGUGGCUUGGCUUCCAUAUUUUCUAUGUGGAUGCAUCACCCGAUACUUCUAGGUUCUUGGUGGUAGGUCGUAGGUGUGUCAAAGGAGUCACUGUUUAGGUUACUAAAAGCUUGGCUCUUUUUGGAAUUUUCAUGAAACUGGAAUGGGUGUAGAUAGAAAUAAUACAUAUAACUUGUGACUUUUUUCCAAUAGAAAGUGAAGGCGGUAUAUUUGGAAUCACGUUAAGGAUAAACUCUCAGGCCAAGCAUGAUUAUUGUUGUCAGAACCAACUGAACUAUAAUGAUAUUGAGAUAUGAUGGUAAAUAACAUUAAUAUAAACAAAGUAAUUUGAGGUACUUGGACUCUCCCUCUUUUGAGAUCACUUGAGCCCUAAAUCAACUGAAUUAAUGCCCGAUCACCUAACAAGUUUUCUAUCUAACUACUAUUAUGCCCUCAAUAUCCUAAUUCUAUCUAAUACCAUUUUUAUCAGUAGAGUUGAGGGGCAGUCAUUUGCCUAAAUCCCUACGGGAAAAGGGGCGGCUCAGCCCUACGACAUUGAACAUAACGUUCAUCUCUCUCAAUAUCCCUAGUAGUUAUAUAUGAUCAGGGUUAGAAACAGCUUGCACCUUGCCAUUUCUGUGCAUGAUAUGACAAGAAGAUUGGUAGAUUAGAAAUGAUGAUCUCGACAACUUGGUAUACCUCUUCUCAUGAUUGCUAUUCUUAUGACUAACAUCUAAACUCUUCUAUCUUAUAGGUUUUGGCUAUUUGAGCCUCGCUGUGGCAUGCAUGACACAGGGGGCUGGUAUGUAGAAACAUUUGGUAAAAAUAAGAAAGGCCGAACAGUCCCAUCACAAAGAUUUUGGGAUGGUUUUGAUUAUCAAGAGCAUCAAGAGUAAGUUCAUAUCGGGUAUACUAAUAAAGAUUCUAUUUACUCAAAUUGACUUGAUAGGAUAAUCAAGAGUAUCUUGAUUUUUAUUGAAUAUCAUAUUCCACUUUCUUUCAAGUUUGUUCAGGAUAAAAAACUUGUUAGGUUAAUUUUUUUUAAUCUUCGAAUCUCUUCAAGCUGGUGGUGUAAUUACUGGAUAAUUCUUUUGGUCAAUUGCCUUCCAUUACUAUCAGCUCUUAAAUCUAUAAUUGUGCAUUUUUAUGUCUAGAUUCGAUUUCAAAAUAAAAUUCCAAACUCCUAUUUUAAAGCAUUUUUCCUAAGAUGUGUUUGCUCCGACUUUUGAGCAUUUGUUCAAUUUUUUUUUUUUUAAUUUUGUCUACAUUACUGCAAGCUAAGUUAUCUACCGUCUGUGCAGGCGGCUUCAUCCAGCAAUGUAUCUAAUUGCUCUUGCAUACAGAACUCUUGAUAUCCAAGAUGCAAGGAUGAUGAGGAAACAAAGAAUCAGGGAUACUAUUAAGGGCCAACUUUUCAGGUUCCUCAAUUGGUCCAAGAAACUUAUUUAGAUAGAACAUUGGUCCUCUUGAUGUCAAAUAUGCUUCAAUUAUCAGGCGUGAUAAAUGCUACAGAAUCAUUAAUAGGCGUGAUAAAUGCAACAGCAAGAUGGUCGGUUCUUCCAUUACCAAGCACGGGUAAAGACCUCGUAUGGUAUGAGCCAAUCAUCAUUAGCAUUAUAGUAUGGUCGAGAACAACUUUUUGGAAGUACUUUCAACAAUGGCCAAACAUCAUGUACAAUCAUCUUUGAAGUACUUUAAUUGUCUGUAUGGGUUAUAGUUAUAGCAUAUUGUAAAAAAAAUCGUCAAGAUUCCAAUUUCUAAACACAAGGACUAGUUCUUGAAGAGGGAUAUCACCCGCAGACUCUAAAUAAUUUAGGUUUCAAUUGAUAUCAACUAGAUUCUUUAUUUUUUAAUUUUGGAAGUCGGACUUAUAGAAUCUACUUUUGUCGGUGGUUUCUUUGUUUUGUCUAUGAUUUAAGAUCUAGAGUUCUAAACAAAUUAUAUACGGGGGACAAUUUGUUUGAAGAAUGCCUUCAGCUUUUUUUUUUUUUUCCCAAUAAAGAGCUGGAAACAGACACUAAAUAGUCAUAGAGUAUUUUGUACAAAAUUGUAAAUGAAUCAAACUAAAGUCUAUACUAGAAAAUUAAUUGUUUCUUAUUAAAUUUUAUGGAUAAAAAGUGUUUUUUUAAAAAUCAAAUCGUAUACAACCUUAUAAAUAAAGUCUACAUACAUUUUUUUGUCUAUUUAUAGGUUAAAAAGUCAUUUUGGUCUGAUCGAAAAUUUAAUGAUAGACAAAUUGUCCAAGCUGAAUUGGUUAGGUAUAUUUGUUUGAAUAAAUGGUCUACGAGUUUUCAUUUUUUAAUCUAAAUGUGGGUGGACUAAAAGAAAUGGAUAAAGAAAAAAAAAAGUGCAGCCUAUCUAUUUACUAUUUAUAAUUUCCUAAUAUGCUUGACAGAUUGAUAAUUCUGUUUGUUUCUUUUAAUUUAAACUUACACCUUAGUUUUUGUAAUUAAUAUAUCUAAAAAUUGAGUUGUAUAGACGUCUCGACUUCAAAUCAAUAUUGACACUCAAUAUUUGUGACCGACUUGCACAUAACAGAAGAACUUAGGUAUUUGCUUCACUAAUUAAUGAAGAAAAAAUAAAUUCAAUUUUAUAUUUUACAGAAAAUACAACAUAGUUAAAAAAAUCACAAUCAAGUAAGUAAGAAAGCAAUCGAUAUUUAGGCUCCAUUUGAUAAAAUAAAUUUUUUAAUUUUUAAAAAUUACAAUACUUGUGGUUUGCUUUUAUAUUUCUUAUACAAGUAAGUCUUUUAAAACAUGAAAUUAAAUUUAUGGAAGCGAUUUAGAAAAUUAUAAAAAUAUGAAAACCUAAGGAGGAUUAAUUAAUAAAAUUUAAUAUUUGGGGAGCAGUGCAAGUGCAUGAAGUGGCGGCAACGGCAAGUGCAUUCCCGCCCUGUCACACAAACAAAACCUCCGAAAACUGAAAAGACUUUUUUAACCUUCGUUAUGUUGACUGAGCGACAAGACACGAAAUGAGUCCAAGUUAACAAAACGCUUCGGAACUCGGUAAAUAGGAGGAGCAAAUAAGGAAGAGAUCGGUGAUUGCAUCAAAGGAAAGAAGCAUGAAAGGCAAAAGCGGAAGAAGUAAUUGGAGCUUGAGAUCGAAGCUAGGUUUGCCCGCACUAAUCUUCGUUUUAUGCCUUUUUUGUUUCCUCGCCGGAUUCUUCGGUUCUACUCUUCUCUCUCAGGUUGAUCCGUGUGCUUCAAGUUUCCAAUCACCGUUAGAUUUCGUUGCUUCAAUGCUUAUACUGUAAUUUUCGGAUUAUCUCAUUGUUAUCGGACGAUUGAACAGGAUGUAGAUGACGAUAGGCCGAGGGCGAGGUUGCUUCAAUCGGCAAGCGAUGUUACGGAGUUUGAUUUGAUGUCUUCGGGAGAAAACGGCGACGAUUCCAUUUCUUCGAUUCCUUUUCAGGUGCUCUCCGUUUCGUUUUAAUUAUUAAUUACAUCUGGUAUGUUAGUUUCACCGCAUUGUCAAACAGACUAAGUUGUUUUUUAAGGAUUGCAUGCAUUUGUGCGAACAUCAUUUAUCGACGGAUGAACCUUGCAACUCAUCAUUCGAUCUUCAGUGAUCAUGAUUUGUUGUUUAGAUUAUUGCACGUCUAAUUUAAAGUUUCCUUUAAUGGAGGUUUUGAGCUGGCGACCUCGCGCACUUUAUUUCCCCAAGUUUGCAACUGCGGAGCAAUGUCAGAGUAUAGUUAAUUUGGCGAAACCGAAGCUUAGGCCGUCUACAUUGGCUCUACGUAAGGGAGAAACCGCAGAGAGCACGAAAGGAGUCCGAACAAGGUAUCUUCUGUCUGUCUGUCUGUAUUGGCACUUAUGAUUUUAUCAAUUAUCAUCCAUUAUUCUUUGCACGGCCUCAACAUAAGUUUCUUCCUGUACUUCCAUUUAUAACCAAACUCUGUCCAUAUAUGCGAUCUGUUAUGGUAUGAGAAAUUAUCCAUCGAGAUUUCUGAAGUUCAGCUUAGUUAUAGAUAGUUUCUUUUUAAUUCGACUCUUUGGUCACUCUCACCUAUGAUGUUUAUUGGAAUUCCGUUUGAACUCCUAGGCAUUGGUUUUGGGAACUUCCAUCCGCUUUUGUAAUUUUACAUUAUCCAUGCAGUUUAUUCAUAUCUAGAAUAUUUAUGUUUCCAUUGUAGUUUCUUUAUUCUGUUUCGUAAUUCGACCAAAAUUCCAGGUUAGCCAUGGCUAUUGGCAAAACUGGAAAAUUUUUAUUACUUCGUUUUUGGUUUUCGGCUUCAUGUAUAGAAGGCUCUAGUGGUUAUAAUGCACGAUCUUCUAAAUUCUUGGUUAUACUCGGGUUAUAGGGAUAUAGAAUUUUGUAGAGAUGCUUACGUUUGCAAUUUGAUUCUUUUCUCUUCUCCGCCCCAAGCAGUUCUGGAGUGUUCUUUAGUGCUUCAGAAGAUGAAAGUGGGACUCUGGGUGUAAUUGAGGAAAAAAUUGCAAGGGCAACUAUGAUUCCAAGGACGCAUGGAGAGGUAUUUUUACCACUUUGAUCAUCAAUAUUUCCACCCUGUUUUCUUAAGGUAGAAAUCUGUUGGUACAUCAUUCAUAAGAGUCUAAAGUUUCAAAAGAACUUGGUUCUAGAAUCCUGAGUAUGUUUGAUGUAAAUUUUGAUAGGGAGUGUCAUGGAUUUGAACUCUUUCACUACCACGGAGAAGAUGAACCCAUUAGCAAGUCAUUUCUAACUUGCUUAUUAAUUUAUUGCAUCCAUCUCUAUAGUAGCUGGUCAUUGGCCUUCUUCAAAUUUAAUGCUUAACAUGGGAUCUUGACCAUUAAUUUCUUAUAGUUGAUGGGAUUUAUAUAAAUCCACUAUGUAGUCAGAUUCUGUUUGUUAUUUUAAGCUGAGAUUAAAGUUUUCUCAAACUUCUCAUUUCUUGUUCAAACUUCUGACAGUUUGACAACUUAAAAGAGGAUCAGUGUUACCUCUUCACAUUUCUUGACUAAAUACCAAGGUACACAAUAGUAAGUAGUAACAGGUGACAUAAAACCUGAGAUAAUUAGUCAUUGUGUUCUAUCCAUUUGAUGGACCUGAUACUUUAUAUAUUUCUUUUAAUUGUUUGUAGAAAUCUGUUAUAGAAUAGUAUGCUUAAUUUCAUAGUUAAUUUAUUUACAGGUUACAUUUCCACUUGAUGUUUUAUGUUUUAAGGAUGUUUUCUUGCAUCUGUAAAAAGUAUAGAACUUCUUGUUUCCAAAUGUUUUAAAAUUGAUUGAGGAUUGUGUGUUUCAGGCAUAUAAUAUUUUGCGUUAUGAGAUUGGGCAGAAGUAUAAUUCUCAUUAUGAUGCGUUCAAGCCUUCUGAAUAUGGGCCACAGAAGAGCCAGAGGGUACAACGUAGAUAUAUUAGCUUUUCCUUUGCUUAUUGCUCGUAAACAUUCAACAUUCAAUUCUUUUCAUUCAUUUAUAAGAGCUCUGUUACAGAAAUAUUUUGAUCCCCUCCCAAAAAAGGGGGGAGAUAGAAUUUUGCACUACUUUCCCUGACAUUUUAGCAUUAAAAAAUUCAGGUGGCUUCUUUCUUGUUGUACUUGACUGAUGUUGAAGAAGGUGGAGAAACCAUGUUUCCAUUUGAGGUAAGAGUAGACCACCAUAGGACCGUAUGAACGAGGUGGCCUUUCUCUUGACAUUUUUUACAACCAAGAACAUUAGUCAAAUGGAGUAUUUACUGUGUUUGAUUGGCAGAAUGGCUUGAACAUGGAUGGAACCUAUAAUUUCCAAACAUGUAUUGGUUUGAAAGUGAAGCCACGUCAAGGUGAUGGACUUCUGUUUUAUUCGGUUUUCCCAAAUGGUACAAUUGAUCCGGUUAGUGUUCCUAUUCCUAUCCUCUUUUGCUUGAUAUAGUAGUUUCAAUUUGAAUGCUGUCUGGAUUAAUGAUGUGUAAUGUGUAAUGUGUAUUGUCGAACCAUGAGCUAACAAGGAGCAUCUAUGCUUUGUUUGAGCAUGAAGCUUCUCGAUUUAUGAUAGACUCUCUAUUAAACAUGUUUAUAAGAGGAGGCAGUGAGGCACUGAAAGAGGUAGUGAGGAAUAACAGGCUAUGAGAAGCUAGUUAGAACUAGAAAGGUGAGCCCAAGUGAAGGUAAUAAGAGGUGGGGUGUGAAUAGAAGGAAAUAUAUUGUCAGAGAACGAGUUGGAGAUUGGUUACUAAGUCCAUAAGUUUCGUACUUGAGAAAGUGGAAGCUUUCUAAAUCCAUCGACCCAUCACCUUUCUUGAUUAAUAAAUCUCACUCAUCAAUUUACGGGUAGGAGCCUAAAUCUGCCAUGAAAACCAGAAUUAGCACAUGUUUGUAACAAAGAACAGUAGACUAUAUCAAAACUACGAACUAAUAUCAUAUGCUAGUACAGUAGAAGUUGAAAUCAAGGAUUACCAAGAUCCCAGUCAUUAGAAGGAAAAAAACCAAAGUUGUAUGACACUAAAGAGCCUUUGGAGAGGACCAUCUUCUGUCCCAAUUUUCACGAUGGAUCUGUUCCCAAAUAAAGAUGUUAUAAGGUGAUGGUCGUUAGGAAGGAUAGGCGUUAGGCACAUAUUGUGAUCAGCAUGUAGAGGUGUUGCCGUGUUGGACACAGACAUGCUUCAGACACGUAUUUUAAGGGUCAAAUUUACUUUUAAUUUGUUGAGUUUUUAUGUUUUGGUGCUGCUGCGGCGUGUCACUCAUUCAAUGUUGAGACUCAUCUUGUUUAGAAAAUACAGAAAUUAAAAUAAAAAGAUAUAUAUUUUUUAACUACAACAUUUGAGUUCCUAGUAAUUAAUUAAUAUAUGAAAACUUUCUGAAACUAAACAUUUUUUUUAAAGAAAACUAAUGAACUUACAUCUAACCAAACCCAGCUACAUGGUGUUGGAAAAUGAGAGUUUAUUUGGUUGGGGACUUGUUCUAUCUGAUAAUCUGACCUCGCAACGUUGGGCUCAGGAGACUAUUUAUUAAUAUUGUAAGCGGUAGUGUUGAGUUCGAACAAAUAAAGAGACUCCAUUAAGAUUAAGAGAUGCAUAGGUUAUGUUAGUAUCUUAUGCCGAAUCUCAUGUUUAUUAUGCAAAGUCGGCCUUACAGCAUGCAUGUAUUUAAGGUAUAGCAAUUAUUUUGAAAAACAUAUUUUGUGGACCAUUCAUUGUUUAUGUUAUAUGCAUGUUUGUGCUUUCGUGUUUGCUUGUGUCAUUUAGAAGAAUUAUGAUGUAAAGUUUUAUAUAUCAAGAAUGGUUUACGAAUUAAAUGGGUACUGUUGUGUACAGCAUUUUGGUUGCUGAGAAUCUCAUUUAUUGCAUAAUUUUGUAGACAUCACUUCAUGGAAGCUGCCCUGUGAUCAAAGGGCAGAAAUGGGUGGCGACCAAGUGGAUCAGAGAUCAAAUGCAGGAGGACUUUUUAUACUAAAUGCAAUUCAUAAGCCGUAAAUUUCUUCCUCAUAAUUUUCUCUGUAUGAUAGAAUGAGUUCAAAUAUUAUACAAAUUUUGUUUCCCACGCUCUCCUCCUUACCUUACCGAUUACAUAUAGGGUAGUUAUUAAGGUUAGAAUGUUUUUCCAAUUCAGUUUAUUGUGUAAAAUAUUCAGAUUAUUUUCAAAUUAAUCAAUCAAAAUCAAAAUAUUAGUCUAUAAUAAUGAAACACGGGCGAUAGUAGUCUACGUUUUUAAUGCAUUAUGAUAUCUUUGUAAAUAUCAUCAAAAAUUAACUCUUUUUUAUGUAGAGAAGGGAGCAUGAGAUGAGAUCAUGUACUGUUGAAUCAUUGUCUUUACCUAUUAUCAAUCUGUGAGUGGUUUAAUUAAACAGUAUUGGCAUAAAGGUAAUUUUCAAUUUUUUGUAAAUACUAUCAAAAGUUUUGUUAUUUUAAAAUAGUUUUUUUUAUGACUUUGAAUUUAAAAAGAGGAUGAAUCAUUUAAGAAUCAAGUUUUUAAUAUAAAUAGAAAUUUUAGUUAGUUCUCUUAGAUGAUCUAGGGAGGUCGUGUCAUGUUAAAACUUGUCAUUUCUCCAAAGUAUUAAUUCCAUGUAUGUUAAAUAUUAACAAAUACUUCCAGCAAUUAAAUUGAAAAUUACCUUUAUGCCAAUACUGUUUAAUUAAACCACUCACGGAUUGAUAAUAGGUAAAGACAAUGAUUAGAUCAACAGUACAUGAUCUCAUCUCAUGCUCCCUUCUCUACAUAAAAAAGAGUUAAUUUUUAAAAAGACGAUAAAUUAUCGUGGCAAUUUUUAGUUAAAUACAGUCCUGCAAAAUAGAUAUAAAUGAAUUAUCAGCUCCAUCAAUUGGUUAAGGACCACUUAGGACUAAGAGAUCAUAUUGGAAUGAAAGAUUCAAAUCCUUCCACAUUAUUAAACAAAAUUAGUUAUAUACUAGAAUUUAAUUAAUAUAAAACUAUUUUUUUUAAUUCAUGUGUAAAAGGCACAAAACCUAACAUCAUCUUUAUUUAAUUAAAGCUUACAAAGGUAUAAAACACGUUCCAAAAUCUUGUGAAUAAGCAUCAAACCUUUUUCGUUGAUCUUGGAUCCUAGCGGAUGAAAAUGGGAUCCUAUAUUGAGACUCGAAGGUUAGGCAGCUACUUGCCUCCUUUUACAACAUGGUGAAUAGAGACCUCUCCAUGAUAUUUAACAUCAAAGGGAAUUGAAUUAGCCGAACUACCCAGAAAAAAACAGGGAGAUAGGAUGUGAUUGGGUUUGUUGAAUUUUAAUCAUAAUCAACAAAACAAAUUGAUAUCCCAUAACUCUGUCUAGCAAGCUUAAGCAUAAGAUUAGAAGUUAUACUUUUGAAUGGAUGCUUACCGACUUCAAACCAAAGCUAGAAAUGUUGAAAACAACUUUACUGCUUUUGCCAGGUCUGAUAUGGAUGCUUUCCCCACCGUUUCAAUGCAUACACACUGCCAGCCGAAGUGAACAAACCAAUGGCAGCAAAUGCUAAUAUCACUGAAUUUUCGAUGCGCCGGUAAUAGCCUCCCUACAGUAAUAAGACACAAAUAUCAUCUCUGCAGUUUCUUAUUUUACGGAAUGAAAGGUCAUAAUGGACCUUGAACCAAACAUAUCAAAUCUAAUAACAUGUAAUCUGGAUUUCUCUGGUAAUUUGUUUUUUUAUUUUUUCCAUUAGGGUUAGUAUAACAUGUACGCAUUUUGAAAUUGAUAAAAUAGACCCUCUUCAUCUUGACUUUCAAACACGUCAAAUAUCUCCACUAACUUCAUCUACGUUCUCCCUCGUUUUCUUAAAUUUUCACAACGGCCCUUCAUGGUAAAAAAAUUAGAUUUAGACACGGGAAUAUAUUCUUAGGAAACCUAAGGCCCAGUACUAAAUUCUCACAAAACACGCCUAAUCCUUUCCUUAGAAAGUGCAGAUCAUUUUCAAACAAAUAAGUUGCUUUUGAAUGAUGGAGGCAUGCAUCAGCUCUUGUCGACACCAAUGCAAGCUCCAUCACUCUUAAGAGUUCAAUUGAAGGUAAAAUUACAUACCUGCAACAGGAAAAACAAAAUUGCCGCGUUUGCAGGGGCCAGAGACAAGCUAAUCAUCCCUCCACGUAACUUAUUUGGCACAUACCUAUUAGAAAAGGCAAAGAAAAGAAAAGAAAAGAAAAACCAGUGUGCAAUCAAAAUCUGAUGUAUGCAUAUAAUUACAUUUCUGCAGAUGCUAUCAUAGAGUAAAACACUUACAUAGUCCUUAAUUUUGCAAGUGAAGGUAAAAUCAAACCUACACAGGCAUGAAAUAUGGAAAAUAGCAUCACUAAAACUCCAAGCUCCUGCAUAUUAUAGACAAAUAGAUCAAGCAGUGGAAAACCAAGCUCCUUAUUUGUCUAAAUUCUCAAAAACCUAAAAACCUAAAACCAUCGAGUCAUAUUUAACUUGCCUGAUAAUCAAAAGCAACAAUUGACAUCACAAGCCCUGAUAUUGCGAAGCAAUAUAGUAAACAAUCUUCAGUCCGAAGGGAUGAUGUUCCACUCAUAAGCCAUGGAAACAAUGAGCUUCCAAGGAUUCUUGAUCCCAGCAAACAUGGAUAUAUCAAACCUAGAUGCACUUCCCGCCCAUCAGCCUAGUUCAAAAAUAAUAAAGUAAACAAAAAAUAUGAUUAUGAAUGCCUGUUAACUAUAUCCAACAGCAGUACCAUUUUCAAAUUGACACUCUUAAAAAAUUACUAGAACAGUGGUUUGGUUAGUUUAAACGAAGAAUCUUAAAAUUAGAGGACAAGCAAAAGACUUAUCCAGUGGAAUACAAUUUCAAACAUUACAAAUCUUCUGACAAAUUAACUUUGAUACUUCAAUGAUCUUAUAAUUGCAAUCCUCAAUAAACAUUUAAAUAUGUACCACUAAUGUCGGAGCCCAAAGAAUCCAAAAGAAUGCAACAGAGAAGUGAACAGAAGCUUGGGCCCACGCCAAUAACCAUAUCCUUUUAUCUGCAAAUUAUGACAGUUUAUGAAUACCGAGAACAUCUACUACUUCUUUCACAAUUCACAAAUUAUUUGAUGGGAACUGGGAAAACCUUGACAAAAACCCUGGUUCAUACUUGAAAAAUAAACACCUAAACUUAUAAUGGACCAUGAAACCAUAUAAUGAGUUCAGUACAGACUACGUAAUGAGAUUAAAUAAUCUGAUACGUUAAAGAAUCUACCUAAACCUGGUGAAGACACUGAUAAGCACUUGGUGAUCAUUUUUACUCUUGAGGACACUAUUUGUUCCCUAGGUUUCUCAUUAGUUGAGCGCAGAAGAAAACAAGAAAAACUAAUUAGACGCUGCAUUCGGUUCUGAAAAAAAGUUGAAAAUGAUAUUCUAGAAGAUUAGUGAGUGUUUAAUAAACAGUGAAUAUAACUAGAGAAGACCCAACCUUGUAUAAGAAUUUAUCCAAAAUAUCCCUGAAAACAAUACAAAAGUAUUUGAUAGUUUCUGCUAGAUUGGGAUUCGGAAAAACUAUUAUAUUCAAAUACACAGAGACGUUAAUGUGUCAACAGAGCAACACUAAUACGUUAAAUGAAUAAUAAAGGGCAUAAAUAGACUAGCCAGAAAAUUCCAAUUUCUACCCACUAAAAACAAACCUAAAUCAAGAUGUAUAUAUAAGGAAGCUGCUUACCACUUAAAAUAUAUGCACUGAAAGAAGUUCUAUAGUCUUCCAGUUCUAUUCUUUGUGAUACUUCUGUCCACCCUUUGAUGAUAAAAGUUAAACAUAUCAAUGCCAAGAAGACAGCAGCAGUGGAAGAAGAAAACAUAUUCCUCUUAACAUCAUCACCAAUCAGACUGUUCACAAGCAUUUGGUUUCCAACCAAAGAGACAGACUCAAAUAUAGUCAUUAGCCAAAAAGUGUCACUUAACAUAUCUUGCCUUUGACCUUGCUGCAAGGAGAGAAAUUUAUGAGAGAAGUUUAAAUUAGUGCUUUCUUUCAAACAUGACACUCAUGAGGUACGUAGGAACUAAAAUACAAGUCAACAAGGCCAACAAUUCAACCAAUUAAAAAUAUGUACUGCAAGCUGGGGACAAAACUAGGUUAAAUCAAUCUAGUUAAAGAACAGGCUGUUUUGUUUAAUUUCAAGAAUCUUAAAUUUGAAGUAAAAAAUAUUACAACCAGAGUCCACUGAUUUCGUAUUCGAGGGCUGAGAACUCCUUUAAACAAGUAUGGCAUUGAUGAAAAUUUAUGUGGUCUACCUUAAAUAAAUCCAGGUGCAAAGCCAUAUUAACCAACCUUCUCGUGAUGAUGCACCAUCCAUGUUUCGAAACUGAAUGAAAAUAUUGAAGUAGCAAGAGAUAAGCCUACACUGGCGAUAAAGAGACUUGGAUGCACAGAAAUCCUCUUCCAUAUGGCAGUAACAAGGUGUAUAAUGCAAAACGUCAUACAGAUUUUCUUUUGACCUCUACAACAACAUUAGAAUCAUCUAUCAGAGGAACAGCAUCAUCUACUGCACUGUAUUUACAAAUAAAUUCUCAGUAGUGAAAUUUGAAAAGGAGCAUUGGAUUGGAGGAGAUUUUCUACUCUCUAGUGAGCAUAGGAAUCAAGGUGACAACCUAGAAAGUGAUGAUUACUGAAAAACAACGAUGAAAUUCUUUAGACUGCAGUAUCUUUUCCUUUAUAUUUGUUCCAAAAAAUAAAAAUAAAACUACAUUGUCCGAUCCAAAUGUUCAUAACGAGGAGCUUAUAAAUUAUGUGAAAUCACUAUUUCCUUCACCAAAAAAUGUCUGAGUUUCUAACAUCGGAAUACUGCGUAAACAAAAUUCUUCGACACAUCAGAGUAGCCGGUAUAAUUCUAUGCCUAACUAGAAAAAGAAUCCAGCAACAUAUUUUCAUUUCUUGUACAUGCUGUCGUAUAGACGAAGACGACAUUUCAGAAUAAGAAGGUAAUUGAGUAAGAAUCGAGUUAAAAUUACAUCAAAUCGGAUAGAAUGCCCAAAAAGGUACCGACGAAGAGAGAAGCUGCAUAUCCAACACAUAGAGACAACACUAUCUGCUCUCUGCUAACUCCACGAUACGUAAACUCAAACUCACCAUAUACUGACCAUAAGCCUUCCAUUACUGUAAAAGUAAAGAGGAGAGAUUCAAAUAACCGAUAGCCACAUCCACACCCCUCAAUUGAAGGAGAAGUUUACGUUUACUCAAUUCGGCUAGGCAAUUAACAAGAAAUGCAAUUAAAGAAGAGAAAAUAGUCUAGAAAAAGGUCAAAUUACAAAAGAGAACAUAUCGCCAGACAGAGGCUCGUUAGAUGAAUUCCACAAUUCCAAACGAUCAGUUUCUUGUCAGUUUUCUUUACAAAAAAAUGUCAAGAGUAAUGCAUCGAACUUACCUGAGGCAAGAGAAUAAAGUAAGAGAAACUUCCGCUGGAAAGUGGAAAAGGCGGAUGAAAAUCCAUGUUCGAACGGAGCAGGAGCUCUGGUGGAGCUAUUUUUGGAAGCAUAAGGUAGAAGAAAGAUGGAAAGAAAACAAGAGAGGAAGAUGAAGAUGA